This 50638-nucleotide long non-coding RNA is filed under the name Vitis vinifera (wine grape). RNAcentral describes it as "long non-coding RNA (VVIN_LNC006210)". The record is from RNAcentral. Lineage: Eukaryota; Viridiplantae; Streptophyta; Magnoliopsida; Vitales; Vitaceae.
UCCCCUGUACUGUACAAUAGCUGUGGUGGUUGUGUUAUCAUAAAAGUCUUGAUAUUUCGGGGCAACAGAAUAAGUUAUAGCCGCCAUGUAAUAGUGAUCCGGGCGUUGGUUAGCUUCUAGUAAGACAUCGAAGGUUUGACCAGGAAAUAUUGUGAUAUAAUCUCGUGUCAAUGGUUUCGUGUAGCUACCAUCUGUUCCAACCACUGUCAUUUUAUGCUUAGCUAUGGCGAAGAAGAGAGCCUCGUGCAAGGCAGCAUUGAUUAUGCGAAGUAAAUAGGUCUUUCCAUGAUCCACCGUUAGCUUGAACGUGCCUACAAUUAGAAAGGGAAAGUUGUAUACUUAUGACUAGCCAAAAGAAAAAGAAAAAGUUUCCAUGAGGAUCUACCAAUCAUGAAGUGAUUGAUUGAUUAGGGGUGUAAAUUUGGCUCCAUAGUUUAAAAUUAUAUUUGGACUAGCCUUUUUUUGUGUGUUAAAUCAUGUCUUUACCAUCCUCAUAGCUAUAGCUAUGUUCAUGUUGAUAAGAAAAAGUAAUAUGGUUAAUAUACAAGAAAAUGAAAUUGUGUACAAUUUUAAAAUGGGAAGUUAAACUUUGUACCUGAUUUUGAGCAUGGAUAUAGAUCACCGGGUUGUCCAUUUAUCAAUAAAGCAUCAGAGGAGUUGGGGUCUGCUCCGGUUGCAAGCCCUUCAUCUCGAACCUCAUUCACAUCCCUUUUCCACCAUUCUCCUACAUUUCAACAACUUCAAUAAUUUUAGAUUUUGCUUUGCUGGUUAAUUCAUAAUAUGUAAAUUGACCUUUAAAAGUAACAACACUUAUACCUAAUAUGAUGGGGACUUCUGCAUUAGGUUUGUGAAAAGGAUACUUGGUUCCAUUCUUGGGAUAGAUGAUUAUAGCUCCAUGAACAGUGGCUCGGGUCCAGUCACUGUGGGCAUGCCACCAUAGAGUGCCUUCCUCAGUGGAAAGGAUGAUCUUCUGCGUAAACUUUGACCCUGGCUGAAUUGGGCAUUGUGUGAUAUACUCGGGACCAUCUGUCCAUGGAUAUCUAGGCAUGGUCACCCCAUGCCUGUGAAACCAUAACUAUACGUUAAAACUAGUACUAAUUUUCAAAGUAACAAAAGAUGACAUGCAACAAGCAUUGUAUUUCAAUGGAACUGAAGCAAAUAACCCUAAAGUAUUGUUUUAAAUUUGACCUUAUUUUCAAAGCAAUAUAUUGCAACCCCCUCUUAGAAAUAAAAGAAUGUAAGUCAUGUCUUUCUCUGAGACACGCACAAGACCUACCAGUGAAUGGUGACGUUUUCUUUUCCCCUGUUAUAAACAUCAACAAUGAUUGUCUCUCCUUUCUUAGCAUAUAUAGUUGGUCCUGGAAAUUGUCCAUUUACUGUUAACAUGUUCUUGGUACUACAAAGCCUUGUAUAUGAAGCUUCCUUCACCUGCAACCAAUUAAAAGUUAACCAUGCAACCUCAUCCCAAAAGAAAUAUUACAUGCAUGAAUAGUAGCAUCAAUACAUUCAUGUAAGUGUAUAACCAAUUAGAAAUUGAUAGCAUGCAUGAACAACUUAAUGACACCCAUAGCAUGCAUGAACGACUCAAUAACAGUAGGGUAAGGGGUCAUAUCGUAGAAAAUGAGAGCUAUGCUUCUCCCUAAAUAUCAUAAUUAGAAGGUGGCAUUAAGACUAGAAUCAUAUAUAAUAUUUACCACAAAAGUAAGCCGACGGAUUGAAGCUUGACAAUGGAUGCCGCCACCAAAAAGUAGAAACACCAAAAUUUGUAAGAGGAAAACCUUCAUGAUCAGCCACAUCUUUUUUGGAAUAAAAGCCUCGUCUCUUAUCCUAAACACAACUCCUUCAAUUUUCUUCCUAUUUUGCUGUAAUUCUUUCAUAUAUGAUUCAUUAUAUAGUCAUGAUAGUACUCUCGGGAUACAAUACUUCCUCUCCACGUGUCAAUAUAAGAGGAAGUGGUUCGACUACGUAUUGGUUUUCAACGUUCUUCCUCUCCUUCAAAAUAAUUAAUUAUGAUAUUUCUUACAAGUUACCUACACAUUAUUUUAGAAUAAAUUAAAAUAUUCUUUCACAUUCUUUCACAAGUCUAUUACUGAUUAUUUCAAGAAAUGUUAAUUAAUUAAAUAUAUGUAAAAUACUUUUAAAGCUUUGACCUCCCAGCUGAGUACCCUUAUCAAGAUUAGUAUAUUUUUCAUUGACAACUACUUUUAGGAAUUAUUUUUAGCAAACCCUUAUUAUUAGUCUUACUUGUUUUCGUGUUACUUAGGACAAUUAAUAGUGCAGAAUAUAUCGAUGACUUUGGUGGUUGGGGCAAAAGUUGUUUUCAUCUUGUUACUUAAAUACAAUUAGUCAUGAUCUUUGUUUUCGUCUGAACGGGACAAAGUUGUUUCCCAAUUUUUUUGAUUAAAAAGACAUCAUGAUGAAUUAAUUUGGUAUUCCAGAAAUUUCCAUAAAAAAUAUACAAAAAUAUAUUUUUUAAAAAGUUGAAAAUAGAAUACCAACAACCCCUUGUGAAUCACUUAAAAUUAUCUAUUGGGAAUUUGGGACUCGUACUAUCUUUUUUCUCAACAAAAACCGAUUUAAAAAAACAUUUUUCAAAACAAAUGCAAUCUAUAAUUUAUUUGUUCAUAUGAAUGUACAUCUUGAUUAAAAUGGUUUUAGCUGACUUACAAAAACUACUAUCUAAAAAAAGAAAAAUAAAAUAAAAUAAGAAAUAAUUCAAACUUCCUUGCUUGGUUUAUUGUAUCAUGUACAAAGAAAAAUCAUUAUAUAAAUAAAUUAUGGAAAGAUUUAUAUGUUUUUAAAUUAUUUAUAAACAGAAAAAAUGGUGAAUAAAUCUUAAGACUGUAAAAAUGUGAUGAAGUUAACUUAAACUCUUUUUAUUUUUUCACCUUCUUUCUCACAUUUCUUUUUAAACUUUUUGAAUAAAUUCCCAACUAUUUGUGGAUACAUAUUUAUGCAAUAUUUUGAAUGUAUAUUUUUCCCCUUACAAGAAACUUUUCUUGAAAAUGAAGAUUAUUUUUGCCUUAUUUUCAAAAUUGUGUUUCAUUUUUUUAAAUGUGAAAAUUACUAUUUUGAUUUCUAAACAAUGAACCAUUUUUAAAAUAUAUUUUAGAAAAUAAUUUUUCAGAUAUAUUAAUUGUGACACUCAAAGAUUAAAGACACCAUGGUCAUUUCACUUGUCCAACCCAAGAGUUCAACACAUGAAUCACCUUAACUAAUAAAUACAACAAGUAAUUGGUUGACAACUUCCUCAAAUUGAUUCAUAACAAUGAUUAUAGCAUAAAUAAAAAAAAAAUAUAAAUUUUUAACCAAAAACUAAUUAAAAAUAUCUAAAUAAUAAUAAAUUCAAAGAUCAUCCCAAACACUUUAAAGAGUUUUAGAAAUCAAUACUAAAUUCAAUCUUGAUUCAACUGAGAAUUUGGGUUUUUGGGCCAAAACAGGCUUUGUUUAUCAAUGGGCCACAUGCCCAUUCACGACCCAAUCCAACAUAGAAACCAAUCAGGAUACAAGCAAAAUGAGGUUUUUAAAGUAAUUUUUAUUUCCUUGCUCUUCCGAUGUGGGACAGUGCGUUUACGCUCCUAGAGCUUGAACCUUGGACCAAGGGUUCAAGGUAAGCAUUGUUGCACCAACCUAUUGCCAAUUGGUUUGUGCCAAGGAUUGUAAAAAAAUAAUAAAAGCGUCUCAAAUAUCUAAUAUUUUUUUAAUUUAUUUAAUAAACUUUAAAAUAUUAAUAUGUUUAUAUAAAAGAUAAAAAAAAAAAUACUAUUGAUUUUUAAUUUUAUCUAUAUUUAUAAUUUUUUUAAAUUAUUUUUAAUUUUAAUAAAAUAUAAAUUAUAUAUUUAUGAUGUCAUCGGUUCAACCGCGGUUCAACCACCAGUUCGACUACUAAAUCGUGAACCAGUAACUUUUCCGGUUCGCUGAUUGGUCCGGUUCUGAAAACAUUGAUUUCCCCUCAUUAAUAUCACUUGUACCCAAUGUUUGAAAUAUCAAUAAAUACGAAUAUAUUGGUAUUUGGAUUUUAUGGAUAUAUCGAAAAUAUUGGAGAAAUAUCGAUGAAUAUUUUAACAAAAAUACCCAUAAGAAAAAAAUGAUUUAAAAUUAAAUAUUUGGAAAAACUAAAAAAAAAAAUGAUAAAAUAAAUAAAAAUACACAUGUUAAAGUUACUUUUUAAGUGCAAUUGAUAUAGGUAUGGUUAAAGAGAAAAAUAUUAGUAAACAAAGGUAUGUAAUUUAUUAUUUAUCUAAUCAAAUUAAUUUUAAUUGAUAAAAUAUUUGAACUUAAUUAUUAUUAUUAUUAUUUUUAUAUUUUAGUAUAUUUUAAUAAAUUUAUAUUUUACAUAUUUUAAAAUAAAAACAUUCAAAUUAAAAGAAUAAAUAUAAAAAAUUUAAAAGUGAAGUGAUAGUAAUUUUUUAAAAUAAGAUUAAUAAGAUAAUGAUAAUAUAUUUAAUAUUAAAACUAUAAUUUAUUUAAUUCAAAUGCAUUUAAUAAUAUAAAAUAAAUGAUGCCGCAUAUAUGAAUUUUUAAUAUUUAUAUAUUUUUAUAUUUAAUUACCAUAUAAAUGAUAUUUUAAAAAAUACUUGUUAAGUGAAUAAUGGUUGUUUUUAUAUAUUUAUUUAUUUAUUAAUUAAAUUUUAAAAUAACAUAAUUAGAAUUAAUUUUUUUUGGUAAUGAACUUUAACAUAUUUAUUAUAGAUAUAUAUUAACAAAAGAGAAGAUGACCCAAUGGUAACUAAGGAAAAUAAAUAGAGUGAACUUAAAACUUAGGGAAUAAGUAGGAGUUCAUUUAAUUCAAUAAUUAAAUUCACUGUCGUGUUGCCCAUGACAAGCAAAAUUUUGCCGAAAUAGAGUGAACUUAAAAAUUAGGAAAAUAAGUAGGAGUUCAUUUAAUUCAAUAAUUAAAUUCACUUUCUUCAAAAAAUUACGCACUUUCAAUUUAAAGAUAAGCGAAAUUUCACCGAAAUAGAGUGAACUUAAAACUUAGGAAAAUAAGUAGGAGUUCAUUUAAUUCAAUAAUUAAAAUCACUUUCUUCAAAAAAUUACGCACUUUCAAUUUAAAGAUAGAACUAAAUAAUAUACUUUGCAUACUUAAAUUAUAUUAAUAAAAAAUUAUAAACAAACAUUUUACUCUGACUUAUUAACAUAAUAUUGUAAUGUCGAUAAACAUUGACAUUUUAGCUAAUCAGUAUGGAAUGUCAUGUCGACCUUGUCCAAUAAGAAAAAUUUUUCCAAAAUAGAGAGAACUUAAAACUUAGGAAAAUAAGUAGGAGUUCAUUUAAUUCAAUAAGUAAAUUCGCUUUCUUUAAAAGAUUACACACUUUCAAUUUAAAGAUAGAACUAAAUAAUAGACUUUGCAUACUUAAAUUAUAUUAAAAAAAUUAUAAACAAACAUUUUACUUUGACUCAUUAACAUUGUGCAUUGACUUUUAUUAUUUAGUAAAAAAAAAAAAAAAAACUCUCAAAUAUUUUAAAAAUAAAAAAUAAAAAUAUUUAUUUCAAACCAUGUAUAGUUUGAGUUUUUUUUCUUUUUCUUUUUUAUAAUGAAAAUAAAAAUAAUUUUAAGCUAUUGUAUAGUUAUUAUUAUCAAUUUUAUUUUCCAUUCUCAUUCUCUUUAUUACCUAACAUUGAAAUGGAAACAAACAUUCAUUUUGACUUUACAAUCCUCUCUGCUUUCAAACAUAAGAAUUGGAAUGGACAGAUUUAUUACUAAUCAAGGAAAACUAGGAAUCAAAAUAAAGGUCUUGUUUGGUAAUUGCUUUUGAAAAACAAUUUUUGAGAAUUUGUUUUUCUAAAAUUGUUCAAUAUCUUGUAAAAAAAAUAAAUGUCUAUUUGGGAACUUGAAAUGUUUUUAACCAGCUUUUAUAUUUUUACAUAUGUUUUAAAAAUAAUUUUUAUUUGUAGUGCUUUAUUUUUUUUAUCAUUCCCCAUAUUUGUAUAAUUAUUUUUAAAAUAGCCCUAAAAAAAUAACUUAAAAUAAUUUUAAAAAUGUUAUCUAAAAACAUCCUAUUAAUAGUUUUUAAAAGCAAAAAUCUAAUUUCUAUUUUUUUGUUGUCAAACAUGGUUUCCUGUUUUUUUGUUCUAAAGAAUAGGAAAUUGUUUUAAAAAAUGGUUACCAAAAAGAUCUAUUCAUUCUCAUUCCCCAUUCCCAUUUACCAAACAUGACCUUAGUGACUUAUAUUUUAGUCAGUUUUAUAUUGAUUUACAAAGAAAAAUCAUGCUUCAACUAAAUGCAUAUGAACUAAUAUUAGAAAAAUUAAUUUUAGUAGGGUUGAAAGAAAAUAAGUUAAUAUUAAGUAGUUGAACAUUGCUCAGUUGAGAAGUGUUCCUAAAUUUCAAAAGUAAUAUUUAUAGGAAAACUUCGGAUUACCUUUUUGGAAUACCCAAGAUUCGAAAAAAACAAUUGUUUUUACCAUUUAUUCUUUACCCUAAGUCAUAAAUGGAAUCACACUAAAAUCGAGAAUCACUUUGUUCCACAACACAAAGUCUUUCAUCUUCUUUUUUAGAAAACUUUUCUUCCUGAGUUCUCUCAGUCUUUCUUUUCCAAAGAAAAGUCUAUUAGGGUGAUUUUUGGGCAAUUUCUAGUAGUUUUAACUCCUAGAAACUGCUCCACCCUUGAUCUCUUAUUUGGUUGGAUCGGGUUGGGUCACCUUGACUUGAGCAUCCACCCAACUCCAACAAUAUUUAAGUAUUUAAUAAAGUAAAUGAUUGAAUUACUAUGAACAAGUAUAAUGAUCAAAACAAAAAUUUUACUCUUUGUUGUUUUAAUAUUAAAUCCAACCUCUAAUUGAACAAAUCAUUUACCAUUUUAAAAAUAUUCUUAAUAUCUUCAUUUUCAUUUUGUGUUUUUGAAAGUUCAUUUUUAUUUUAACUAGAUCAAAUAAUAUUUGCAUAAUAAUGCCUUUAAUCUACAUUUUUUAUGAGUAAUACCAAAUAAACAUCUCAACAAAUAUUAUAUGAGAUGAUCAUUAAUUUCACUAUCUUCUUUUUAUUUAUGUUAUUCUUCCUUAUCAAGUGGAUUUAAUUAUGUGUUGCAAAAUGAACAAGGACCUCUAUAGUUAUAAUCUCACCUAAAAAGUUGGGAAGUAUUGUGUGACUCACGUUUAAAAAAAAAAAAAAAAACUAAAUGGGUGGUUACCAAUAUGCACAUUUACCAGGAGUUAUAGCAUUUUUUUUUCUAGUGGUUCAGAUGGAAACAAUUUGAAAAAGAAAAAGAGAGUGCUAAGAGACACAAGGGUUAGAAUUGUUUUUCUUAAGGAUAAAAAACUAUUAAUGUUGUAUGGUGAGAUGUGUGCAUAAAAGCUCGAUUCAUAUAAGAGCUUUGAGGGAGUAAUUUUCUAGUGAUAGUGCAUCAUCCAAGUCCUCUUCCUUUCAUGGAUGUAGAUCAAUUUGAUCAAAGUACAUAAAUGAUUGUGUAAGUUUUCUUUUAUUGCACUAUUGAUUGAAUUCUUGUUAGUUUCCGCAUAUCGCAUCUUGUUAUUUUUUUUUGGGCAAGAAAGUUUAACAAGUGAUAUCAAAGCGGGGUUCGAUUAAGGCAGUUUAAGAUCUAGACGAUCUUAGAAUUUCUCAUCAAAUUUGAAGAAAUUUUCAAAAUGGCGACAUCCAAAUUGGAGAUAGAGAAGUUUGAUGGGAAAUGUGAUUUUAAUUUGUGGAAAAUGAAGGUGCAGGCUUUGCUUAGAAAUCUAGGUCUUAAUGAGGCAAUUAUAGAUACAAAAAAGAUGACAACUACAAUUACAUCAGAAAUCUUGAAGAAAGCAAAGAACACAAUAAUUUUGAGUCUCGGUGAUUUAAGAUUGAGGAAAGUGUCAAGGGAAAGUUCAACCUCUGCAAUUUGGAAGAAAUUGGAGGAGAUCUAUGUGGUAAAAUCACUUCCUAAAAAAAUUUAUCUUAAAUAGAAGUUCGUUGGUUUUAAGAUGCAUGAAGGGAAGUCGAUAGAUGAGAAUAUAGAUGAAUUUACUAAGCCUAUUCUUGAUCUUGAAAGUCUGGGUGUUAAGAUAGAAGAUAAAGACCAAGCAAUGAUACUUUUAAAUUCAUUACCAAAGAUGUUUGAUCAAUUGAGAGGCACUCUGAAAUAUAGCAAAGAUUCAUUAUCAUUAGAAGGUGUAGUAAGUGAAAUUCAUGAAAAGUAGAUGGACAUGAGGGCUGAAGGAAUAGAUACAACCUCUGGUGAAGGUCUUGUUGUACGUGGUAGACCAGAAAAGAGAAACAACAACCAGAAAGGAAAUCAUGGCAGAUCCAAGUCAAAGUCAAAGUUUAGAAGGAAAUGUUUCCAUUGUCACAAGGAAUGACACUACAAACAUGAAUGUCCAGAGAGAAAAUCGAAGAAAAAGAAUCAAGAUAGUGAAUCUGUAGAUGUGGCAAUAACUUUUGAGUCUAGGUGAUCAGGUAUUGAGGAAAGUGUCAAGGGAAAGUUCAGUCUCUACAAUUUGGAAGAAAUUGGAGGAGAUCUAUAUGGUAAGAUCACUUCCUAAUAGAAUUUAUCUUAAACAGAAUUUCUUUGGUUUUAAGAUGCAUGAAGGGAAGUUGAUAGAUGAGAAUAUAGAUGAAUUUACUAAGCUUGUUCUUGAUCUUGAAAGUCUAGGUGUUAAGAUAGAAGAUGAGCCAAACAAUGAUACUUUUAAACUCAUUACCAAAAGUGUUUGGUCAGUUGAGAGACACUUUAAAAUAUAGCAAAGAUUCAUUAUCUUUGGAAGAUGUAGUAAGUGCAAUUCAUACAAAGGAGAUGGACAUGAGGGUUAAAGGAAUAGACACAACCUCUGGUGAAGGUCUUGUUGUACGUGGUAAACCAAAAAAGAGAAACAACAACUAGAAAGGAAAUCAUGGCAAAUCCAAGUCAAAGUCAAAGUUUAAAAGGAAAUGUUUCCAUUGUCACAGGGAAGGAUACUACAAACAUGAAUGUCUAGAGAGAAAACCGAAGAAAAAGAAUCAAGAUGGUGAAUCUAUAGAUGUGGCAAUAGCUUUUGAAGGCUAUGAUACUGCUGAUGUACUCAUGGUGGAUGAAAAGGAUUUGACCAGUGAAUGGAUUUUGGAUUUGGGCUGUACAUUUCACAUGUGUCCUAUAAAAUCUUGGUUCUCUAGCUACAUGGAACUCAAUGAAGGGAAAGUUCACAUGGGUAAUAAUGAGGCUUGCAAGGUGUUUGGAAUUGGCUUAAUUAAACUCAGAUUACAUGAAGGUAUGGAAAGAACGUUAACUAAUGUGAGGUAUGUUCUAGACUUAAAAAGAAACUUGAUUUCUUUGGGUAUGCUAGACUUAAUGGGUUGUACAAUAAAAAUUGAGAAUGGAACAUUGAAUAUUUUAAAAGGUGCAAUGAUAAUGAUGAAAGGGCUCAGAAAAAAUGGCUUGUACAAUCUACAAGGUGAAAUAGUAGUUGGAACUUCAAUAGUAGUUGCAAAAGAUGGAAAUGAAACAGCAAAGCUUUUACACAUGAGACUUGGUCAUGUGAGUGAGAAAGGGCUGCAAAUCUUGAGUCAACAAGGGUUGCUUGGGAAAGAAAAACAACCGAGUCUUAGUUUUUGUGAGCAGUGUAUAUUGAGGAAGAAAACCAAAGUGAAGUUCAAUUUGAGUCGACAUACUACAAAAUGAAUGCUAGAGUAUGUGCACUCAAAUCUUUAGGAACCUACUAUAACUCAAUCCUUAAAUGGUGCCAGGUAUUUUUUUGACAUUUGUUGAUGAUUUCAAUAGAAAAGUAUGGGUUUUUAUAUUGAAAUCAAAUGAUGAAACUUUUGAGAAGUUUAAACAAUGGAAAGUAAUGACAGAAAAUCAAACUGGUAGAAAUUUAAAGUAUUUAAGGACAUAUAAUGGACUUGAGUUUUGUGGAGAGAAAUUCUCUAAUUUUUGUAGGAACCAAGGAAUUGUAAGGCAUAGAACGAUGAAAAGUAUGCCUCGGAAAAUGGACUGGCAGAGAUGAUGAAUUGUAUUAUUCUUGAAAGGGUAAGAUGCAUGUUGAUAAAUGCAAGACUACCUAUAAAGUUUUGGGCGAAAGUUGUCUAUACAGCAUGUCACUUGAUUAACAUAUGCCCUUCAAGUGACAUAAAUUUUAGAACACCUCUAGAAGUAUGGAUAAGUAAACCAGGGAGUUACCAACACCUUAGAGUGUUUAAGUCAACAACAUAUGCACUUGUAAAUGACGGAAAGUUGCAACUAAGAGCAAAUAAAUGUUUAUUUCUUGGAUAUCCUAUUGGAGUGAAGGGGUACAAGUCGUGAUCUCCUAAUUUGAGGAAAACAAUAAUUAGUAGAGAUGUCACUUUCAAAGAAGAUGAAUUGUUGGGUUUGGAAGAAAAAACAAGUGGUGAAGCUAUGGAUUAUGAUGUGAAAUAGUUGGAGGAGUUUCAAGUGGAGGAAUCAUAAGGAACAAAAAUUGGAACUAAGAAAACAAGUGGAGUCCAACAAAAUGAAUCAACUAGCGGUGGUCAACAUCAUGAAUCAACAACUCAGGGUGAACCAACUUACAGUUGUCAACAACAACAUGAGUCAACAGUUCAGGAUCAACAUUUGCAAGUUUAUGUACUUUUCAAGGAUAGAUUAAGGCGUGAGAUCAGAUUGCCUCAUAAAUUUGCACAAGCUAAUGUUGUUGCUUAUUCAUUGUAGACAACAAAUGAGAUAAUGGGUGAAGAUCUCAUUAGUUACUCACAAGCAAUGAAAAGUAAGGAGUCAAGUUAAUGGUAUGAAACAAUGGCUGAGGAGAUGAAUUCACUUCAAAAAAAUAGAACUUGCGAAUUAGUCAGAAAACCAAAGAACACAAAAGUCAUGGGGUGCAAAUGGAUAUAUAAGAAGAAGACUGGUAUUCCUACAGUAGAACCCGAGAGAUUCAAAGCAUGUUUAGUGGCAAAGGGGUACUCACAAAGAGAAGGUAUUGACUACCAAGAAAUUUUCUUCCCAGUGGUAAGACACACUUCAAUUAGAAUGUUGUUAGCGAUUACAACUACAGGUGAUUAUGAGUUGGAACAAAUGGAUGUAAAGAUGCCAUUUUUACAUGGAAAUAUUGAUGAGAAAAUACCGAUGGAACAACCAGAGGGUUUCAAAACAAAAGGAAAGGAAGACCAUGUGUGUUUGCUUAAGAAGUCGUUAUAUGACUUGAAACAAACACCUAGACAAUGGUACAAGUGUUUUGAUAGUUUAAUGGUUGAAAACAAGUUUAGUAGAAGUCAAUAUGAUAGUUGUGUAUACUAUCAACAAUUGAAAAAUGGGAAUUACAUCUAUUUGUUGUUGUAUGUUGAUGAUAUGUUGCUGAUAUGCAAGGACAUGGAGGAAAUCAAUAGGUUAAAAUUACUCUUGAACUCACAAUUUUUGACAUGAAAGAUCUAGGAUUGGCUAAAAAGAUUCUAGGAAUGGAGAUCAAGAGAGACUGAUCACAAAGAAAGCUAUGAUUGCUACAAACAGAUUACAUUGAGAGGGUUCUAGAGAGGUUUGACAUGAAAAAGGCUAAAUCAGUGGUGGCUCCAAUGGAAUCUAAUUUGAAGUUAAGUUUAGUUGAUGCACCAGAAACUGAAGAAGAUAAGCAGUACAUGUCUACGGUACCAUACACAUAUGUAGUGGGAUCCUUAAUGUAUGCUAUGGUUUAUACUCAUCCAGACUUGCAUAUUUUGUUAGUAUGGUUAGUAGAUACAUGAGCAAUCCAAGGAAAUUCCAUUGGCAAGUAGUCAAGAAGAUAUUGAGAUAUCUUAGAGGGACUAGUAAACUUGGAUUACUUUAUGGAGAUGGUUUAGCUGAAAGUGGAGUUGUAAAAGGUUUUGUGGAUUUAGACUUUGGUGGAAAUGUGGAUAAGAGAAAAUCAUUGACUGGAUAUGUGUUUACAGCUUGGGGAAGUGUAAUAAGCUGGAAGGCAAACCUACAGUCAAUUGUGACUUUUUCUUCCAUAGAGAUAAAAUACAUAGCUACAACUAAAGUUGUGAAAGAAAGCUUAUGGCUUAAGGGAAUGAUCAAUGAGUUAGGAAUUAAUCAAAAGGUUGUGGUUAUACACUGUGAUAGCCAAAGUGCUCUACACUUGAUGAAGAAUCAUGUAUAUCAUGAGAGAACUAAACAUAUUGAUGUUCGAAUGCACUUUAUUCGGGACAUACUUGCUUAAGGAUUUGUUGUGAUGAAGAUCUAUACAAAAAACAAUGCAGCUGAUAUGUUGACAAAAGUUCUUCCUUCAAACAAAUUCAGGCUUUAUUUGAGCCUGAUUGGAGUAGUUCAAGAGUAGAAAAAGCAUGUGGAAGGGACUUGAAGGUUUAUGGAUGCACUAAACUUAAGUCAAGUUGGAGAAUUGUUGUGCAACUCACGUUUGAAAAAAAAAACUGAAUGGGUGGUUACCAAUAUGCACAUUUACUAGGAGUUAUAACAUUUUUUUCUUUGGUGGUUUAGAGGGGAACAAUUUGAAAAAGAAAAAAAGAGUGCUAAGAGAGACAAGUGUGGACUCGCAUUUUUCACGUGCGUUCCCACGUAAUCAAUGAAACUCGCUAUUAUUGGUGAAAAAUUAGUUUUGGAAAAGUCGGAGUCACCACUUAUUUUAUUUUAUUUUAAAAGGAAAAAUAAAACAAGAAAGAAAACCCUAAAAAAGUGACUCCAUAGUUUUUGGAAAAACGUGUCUUUAAAAAACCCGAGUCUAGGUCCGGAGAUCAGGUUACCUAUUGGGAAGGUACCUCUAAAAGGUAGCACCCCUCUAAACCCUACAGAGGUCUCUACUGACUAAGUUGAGGGAAAUGUGACAAUUAAUUGGUUGAUUAUAGAUACCUAGGUAGGCUAGGUGAUUUAAAAAAUAGCAUGCUUAUCAAGAAAACCAAUCACAAUCAUAAAGAAGAUUCAGGGUGUGUACCUGGACGCCUUCUUAAGUGCUAUCACAAGACAUCAAUGGUUAGUUUGGAAAAUAAAACACACAGUAUUUUACCCUAGUCUCUUAAUCAAACAUGGCAAACUAAACAAACAAUCAAAAAGAUAUGUUGAGCAGGUUAAGAGUCGCAUACGAAGCAAUACAUAACAAUCAUGUGUAAAGCAAUACAUAAUUUAUGGAAUUAAGAUACGAAGGUAAGAAGCGUACCUGAAUAGCAUAAGUAACUUGUAACGUUCUUCCACAAGGCAUGAGGGGUUAGAUAAUAAAUAAUAAAAUAAAGAAAUCCUAGCAUGCUUGUUAUCUAAUUAGCAUAGCAAAAAUGAUCAAAGUAUACGAAAUAAUCAAUUAUCGCAUACAUCUUGUAUAUAAUUCCUAAAAAAUAUAUAGAUAUGAUUACAACAAGUAGCAAGGGUGGUGGCAAAGCUGAGUUUUGAAAAGAUUCUUUUAUGUUGGGGUUCCAUCAAGUCCCCAUUCAAUAUACAUAAGUUUACCUGUGUAUCCCCAUUAAUUUGGGAGCACAAGUCCAAACCUAUGUGAAUAAAAACCAAAUUAAAACCAACAAAGGAGAAAUGCAACUUAAAUGAAAUGAGUUACAUAAUUUGAAUAGAAAGUGUGUUCUUUGCCUAAAGCUAGAAUGAAUGUUUUCUAAAAUCUUUUAUCGGUGAUUUAAAUGCUUUUGAAAAUGACUUUAAGGGAAGUAAAAAAAAAAGACCCAAUGAUUUGCUAAAUCCUAAUCAAUUGACACAAAAUAGAGAUUUUUGAUUUCUAACUUAAGAGGGUUUUGAAAAUAAGAGAAAAACUAAAUUGGAUCCUCUUUUUGGCUACCUUUCAUUAGGGGUCAAGGAGCCAUACUUAUGAUGGAAAAAUUCAUUUUUGAAAAAAACAAAGUUUGACUCAACACAAAAUAUCAAUUUAACAAAAAACAUUUUCUAAAAGAAUGUUCAAACUCAAGAAUUCCAUAAGGUGUCUAUAAAAUAAGUAUCAAAGAUAAAGAUAACAUUCAGUCACAUAUAACAUCCCAUAUAACGCUCAAUGAAUUUUUCAAGAGGUAUCUACCAUGUGAAUUUAAUCAAACUAAAACUCAGUAAAUUUUUAAAAGUCAUCUAACAUGUGAAUUAAACAAAUGGAUACUCAAUAAGUUUUUAAAAGGGAUCAAACAUGUAAACUUAAAGAAACUAAUACUCAAUGAAAAUUUAAAAACUCAAACUCAAACUAACCGCAUUAUUUAUCAAAAACUAAAAUCCAAAUUAGCAUCAACAACUAUUUGAAAACUAAAGUCCAUUAUUCAUCAAAACCAAUACAGCAAACUACAUUCGUACUUAUCGAAACUAAAAUCCAAACUAAUUAAAAUGGAUGAAAACAGGUUUAAAAAAAAUAAAAAAUAAAAACUUUAGCAUAAAAGCAAUUUUACCAAUGGAUUGAAAUAAUAAGAAAUAAAAAAACUAAACCGAAGGGACAAAUUUAAACUAAAAUAAAACGAGUUUAAGAAUGUGAACUUACCUUUCAGAUCAAUGCAUGGGGGCUGUUUCGAAGUCCAAAGGUGUAGGUUGUUUUCUUUUAUGUGGGUUGUGCGUGUUCCUAAGAGAGAAUCUAAAGUGGUGCGACUUUGUGUGCCUUUAUGCUCUCAAAGUGGCCACCGAUCCCAUGUGUGGUGGAGAACGAAGAUCUCACCCUCUUGUCACGGUAGCCUGCUGUGUCUUCCAAAUAUGUAGCUGCGUGCUCUCCAAAACUGCAGCCCGCAAAGUCUUAAAAAAUUUCGGUGGCUCCUAAGUGAUCAGCUUUGAUGCCUUAUCAAUUGAUGCCUCUCAUGGUGCGUGGUGGAAGUGGGUGCAACCCAUGGAAAGUACACCUAGGUAGCCUCCAAAAUACAUGAUGCAGUGUGGUGUUUCUAUUUAAAAUAGGUGCAGUCGUGAAUGACAUCCACAAUGGAAAUCCGUCAAGGCGGCAUGGCAUGUGCGUGUAAGUCUUGGAGAAUUCCAAUUUGCUGCGUGUGGACUAACUUCCUCCAAUGAUACGUGUUCCCAAAAGAUUUCCAAGUGUUCUAUACAAUAUGCAAUCAUGUUGGGAACCAUUCCCCAUGGUGUGUGCUUUGUUGAUUUCUAUAUGCAUUCCCAUGGUGUGGGUGGAUAUCCCCCAAACUAAAGAUUACGUCCUCCUCCCUAAUUGUAUUAUGUCCUCCCCAAAGUUCUAGAGACUUGCCUCUAAAAAUUAUGAUCAUUCUUUCAUUCCUUCAAAAAUUCAAAUCUAUCCACUAACAACCACCUCUCUAAAACCUUAUCAUCCUCUUCUCUUCAAAAUUCGUGAGUCUCCUCUUUUUGAAGUGAAAUGGGCAUCCCUAGUAACAAUCCCAAUGAAAUUAACAUCAAUCCUUCUGAAAAGAGUAGUGGAGUGGAAUGUAGGCAGCUUGCAAAUUUCCUUAGCAACUGAUCUAAAUUCAUGUAUUUGCAGUCCAUCCAAGUGACCAUAGAAAAUUUGAUUGAUCCUAAACAAACAUUGCUCAUUUAAUUCAUUUGGAGGUGGGCGACCAUUUUGAAAGUAAAACUGAGGUAUCAAUUCUCUAAUAGGCUCACUAGCUAAUUUCAGAGGAGAACUUAAAUUAAAAGGGCCAAUCCUCUGUUUUACAACACGAGGAGAACCAGAUAUACUUCUUGGUGACAGUGGAAGUGCACUACCAGCGGGAAACAUGGAAGAUAAUGAGUUGCUUGCAGCAGCAUUUGUCGUAGAAGAAUUUCUAGGGAUAUUCAAGGCCUUUGCAUCAUUCAGCAAUGAAGUCACCAGACGGUUAGUCUCAGGAAGCAAAAGUCACUAGUCAAAAAGCUUCUCAGAGACCCUAGGGUUUGACUUGAGAGCAAAAGGCGACACCUUCGGGAGUUGCAACAAUUCGACGUCCAAAGACACCACAUCGCCAACUAUUUCCAUAUUCAUCGUAGCCAAAUUGAAUCUCUCAUCCAUAUAACAAAAUUAGAAUAAUCCUAUAUCAUAAAACAGGACAACAAACAAGCUCGAUCACCCAAAGCAACCUAGAUGAACCACAAGGCCAUUGUUCAACGCAUUGAAUCAAGGACAUUAAAAAUAAAAAAUUCGAGGCGAAAAGGUUCAGAUUUGAAGUUGACGAAGUGGAAAAAACCCUAGAUUUUCAUGAAGCAGGGAAUGGAUUGUCGCUGGAUCAGAUUGAAGCUGAAAGACAAACAUGUUUAUGUGAAAGAACGAAGGGCAUAUAUGUGAAUCUCGGAGCAUAGUCUCCUUGGUCACGUGCUAGGAAUGUCACACGUCCACUACGCCCUUGGCUCAUUUUAGUUUCCAUCCCUUCCUCUAUUAUUCAUAUCAAUACCAGUAACAACAUUUUGAGCAUCCAAUCUUUCCUCCAUCACUAGCAAAAGGCCAUCCUUUAGAGAUAUCUGUCUCUCAUUUUCUCACCAAAACCAUAAAAAAUCCUCCUGCUUUCCUCCUGUGUCUUCCUCUCUGCAUCACUGUUCAUUUGUCUUUUUCCUGUAGCUUUACCAACAUGGAAAGAUCCCUCACCAGUUCGGAGAGAACCAACAAUGUCAUUUGCGUCCGCCCAACACGAUCCGAACUUUUUUUUUCUUUUCUUAAAAGAGCCCUCAUUCAUCCACAUGCACACCAAAUCUUUCCUUUUUCACAUGUCAUGCAACUUUGGUAAUUUUCUGUUUCAGAAAAAAAUGACAUCCGUCCCUGUCCUUCCAUGCUAGUGGGAUGAUGUGAUUGCACCUUUUACGGUAGUCAUGACUGUAUUUUCCUUUCUUCCCUUAUGGGUGGUGCUUCCUAUGGUUAGUGGCAGCCACAUAUCUUCAGCUCAAAUUCUCCAUGAAUCAGCCCGCAUCAUCCUUGAACUUCCUCCUAUAUCCAAUUGUCACUCCCAAUGUAUGCAUUCUGAAUAUUCCACCAAGAUGCAGCCCCACAUGAUUUCCUUCAAUCUUUCCAUUGGUGGACUUACCUACAAAAAAAAAAAAUUUAAACAAAAUUAUUAAAUUAACAUUGAUAAGUAAGGACAAGUAUUAUAGUAACAUUGAUAAGCAAGGACAAGUAUUACGAAAAAGUGACAAAAUAAUAGGAAAAUAAAAUAAAAGAAGAAAUAAACAAGACAAUAAAUAAAAUAAACAAAAAUAAAAUAAUGAAAAGUCAAGUCAUGCAACUUUAUAAUAAAUGAGCCAUGCAAGCCAUACAAAAAAUGCAAUCCAUACCAACCAUGCAAGCCUAAUGGGCCAAGUGCAUCUAAAUGGGCCUAGGGUGCCUAAGUGGGCCUAAGGUGGUGCCUAAUGGGCCAAGUGUAUCUAAAUGGAUAUAAAGUGCCUAAGUGGUGUCUAAUGGGCCAAGUGUAUCUAAAUGGGUCUAGGGUGUCUAAGUAGGCCUAAAGUGGUGCCCAAUGGGCCAAGUGUAUCUAAAUGGGUCUAGGGUGCCUAAGUAGGCCUAAAGUGGUACCCAAUGGGCCAAGUGUAUCUAAAUGGGCUUAGGGUGCUUAAGUGAGCCUAAGUCUAAAUUAGGGUUGCUAAGAGUCACAAUGGGGUUAGAUAAAUCCCUCAACCAAAGUUCCCAAGGUGGCUUAGAAAAGAUAGGCUACAUGAGUAGUAAUGGGCCACUAGGUAAUUGCUGUAAAGUACCGAACAAAUAUCGAAUAGGACAUGUGUUAAGAGGACAAAAUGGAGGGUCUACAACAAGGAUUAGAAUUGUUUUUCUUAGAGAGAUAUAUGUUAAUGUUGUAUGGUAAGGUGUGUGCAUAAAAGCUCAAUUCAUAUAAGAGCUUUGAGGGUGCAAUUUUUUAGUGAUAUUGCAUCAUCCAAGUCCCUUUCUCUUGAUGGAUAUAGAUCAAUUUGAUCGAACCAUGUAAAUGAUUGUGUAUAAUUUCUUUUACUGCACUACUGAUUGAAUUCUUGUUAGUUUCCGCAUAUUGCAUCUUGUUAUUUUUUUUUUUCUGUAAGAAAGUUUAACAGGAAGCUAUCUCUACAUAUAUGGUUCAUGUAUCAAAUAAAUUGUUUUUGUACUUCCAUCAUCAAAGAUGCAUGUAUGUCAAAGAAUGGCAAAAGAAUCUAUAAGGUUAGGAAAACAAUGAAAUUUUUUUUAUGUUUUUUUUAUUCAUUUAAUUUAUUUUUUCUAUUCUAUAUAAAAAUUCAAUAUAUAUAACUCUUUAACUAAUUUUAAUUAUAUUUUUCUUUCAUAUUUUCUAUCAAAAUUUUUUAAAAAAAAACAUUGUUUUUAAUAUUUCAACUAUAACAAGGUGGGCAUAAUUAAUUUAUCAUGCUAGGGUAUCCUAACAACCUAACCUUAAAAUUUUCUUAAAUAAAUAAUCACAUCACUAGUCAUAUAUUUUCUUAUUCCACCAUAUUGUGAUUGGCACCAUAGUAUUUGUUAUACUUCGAAGCAUUUUGGUAUGGUUGUCAUCUCAUAAUAAGUCAUUUUUGAAGCAAACCCAACAUGCUUGAUAGAAAUCCCUCUUGCUAAAUGAAUCCCAAGGUCUCUUAUUUGUGAGUGUUGGCACAUUAAAUUAUAUAGUUUAAGAUUAAUAAUUUUGUUUCAUUUAUUUUGAUUCAAGGCUUUUUUAGAUUAUGUCUCGCUCUCCUUUGAAAACUCGAAGUUGUCGUGUGGUCGAUUGGAAUAACAAAGGCAAGCAUAGAAAGGUAUGAGAAAGGUAAAUUAGAGUUUGUUAAGGUUGUUGCGAACGUCAAGUUCUUAAACUGAGUUAAAUAUUUUUUAUAACAGUUUUAAAGAACUCCUCGAGUGCUCUAGUGCUGCAGAGAGCACUUAAGUGCUCCUUGGAGCACUCAAGUGUGAUAGAAUUCUCUAGAAUUCCAAAGCUGAAGAGGAAAAUUAUAAAUCUGAUCCACCAAGAUCUUGACCCUAUAAACACCUUACUUAAAGAGGAUUUUCUCUUUUUGAUGCAAAUGUUUCAAAAAACCUAAUUUGCCUUCUUGUUCCCAAAACUUUGAACAAUGAUUGUCUUCGCUUUUACUAGGUUGAGAAAGAGAUUUGCAUCUCCAAAACACUAAAGUAAGAUUCACUAGGAGCACAAGCGGUGUUGUAUUACAAAUGCGAAGUAGUAGAGGUGAUGGGGGGUAAGACUUAGGGAUGGCUUCCACUAGAUAAAACUGUGUACUAUGCUUUCGAAUAGUGGAUUUGUAAUUAGAUGUCUCUAACCCCAUGGAUUUUACAUCUGCAUGUUGUGUGAGUGGUUUUUUUUCAUGUAAAAAAUCUUGUGUUCUUGUAUUGAAUAUUUUUAGGCUUUCCUAAAUCAAAUGGAUUAAUUUAAAAUAAUUAAUUUUUGAGCCUAAGAGGUUCAAACACCUAUUCACCCCUUCUAGAUGUUACCUAAACUAGAUCAACUAACUUUCAACGAGGAAAGCUCAAAUCAUAGAAUUUGCACUUUCAGCCAACGCAGCUAGGCUUAGACAAAUUGAAGAGUAAAUAUCCUUUCAAAUCAACCGACUAGCCUUUCAUCCAUGGAGGCCUUCUCCAAUUUAAAGAUCAUGAAAACCUCUCAAAGCAUUUCUAAAGAAAAAUAAGAGCAUUGGCUCACCCUAAGGGUUCCUUGGAGAGGCUUUGAUCUUAAUCUUCUCCAUGAGUUUUUGAAAGGGUCUUUAACAACUGCUAUUGGAUUGGAUGGAGCACUUAUAUGAACUAAGAAUGAUAAAUAUUAUAACUACUCAAAAGACAUUUUCACAGAAUUGCCAACCUGCAGAUCAUUUUUAGUUAACCAAAUCUUAAAACAUUAGUCACAUCCAUGGCCAAAAUUAAGUGAAGGCUAAACACAGAUAGAAGAGAAUCAUGGGACACUCUCCUUAGCUCUACCAAGCUAGCUAACAACCUUGAACAGAAUAUUGGUCGAGCAGUCCAUGACUACUAUUAAGGGAAAAACCUAUAAAAAAAUAUGAAGAUCAAGAAGCAUAAAAAGAAAAUAUAGGCUAAAAUAAAAUGGUUCAAUUUGGGAAUCAACUGCUAUGCAAUAUAUGACUAAAUUUUCAGCUAGAUUCUUACGAGUUGUAACCCCUAAAAGCAUCAAAUGCAGAAGAAAAACCAUGCAAAAGAGAAACCAGUAAGACAAUAACAAUAUGAUAGUUUCAUCUCUACCUUUCGAGUUUGAGCAUCUUGUGCUGAUGCAUCCUCUCAAUGUAGAAGUGGUUUGCUUCAUUAUAUCAGUAUUGUAAAAAGAAGAGGUGUAAGCUCACUGUAAUCUUUAAUAGUGAAGAAACUUGAAUUCUCAUCGGUAGUGCUGCACUGAAAUUCUGGUUGAUUGUCUUCUUUCUCAUCUUGUUCAUAUAGUAGAUGAACCCCACACUUCUUCACCUCAUAAGAUGGGCCAUAGACUUGGAAUGAAGCCUGAAUUUGACUCAGUUUAUUUAGCCAAUUGGCGUGGCCAAUCCCAAUUCGAGAAAUUGGUUUAUACCCAAACCACAUGUGAUCUGAUUUAAUCAAUUUGCGCCCUUUAUCCGAAGAAUUCCGGUGUUCUGGAUUGAUGGGAGCAAAAAAGUGACCAGUUUUACCUUGAGUCAAAUUCAAAUGACAAAAUAUAUUACCAGGGCAAUCAUGGACUGCACCCUUAACUACAAAAAUAGCGCACACAGCCAAUGCCAUCAACCUAGUGUCACACCAAUUUGGAGGCAGAUGUACUGUUACUGUGGAGCCUAUACUCUGUUGGCUGAACCACUGAGGAAUUCGACUUCCAGGAACAAAAGUACUGAAGUAUAUGGUACCAUCUGGGUCAUGAAAAUCUUUGUCAAGUUAUAUGGAAAUAAUGUAGAAGUAAUGCUAAAAGGAGUAUAAGAAUUAUUCCAUAGGAUUUAAUUGAUUUACUUCUACAACAUGAUCAAGAGAGAGAGGAGAGAAACCUGGAUUGGGAAUUGAAAUCUUGGUAAUUUAUUUGCCAGACUUUGCAUUUCCCUUAAUAUAGCUGCCACAAAGUUGCUGCUUUCAUUCUCAGACAGUCUGAAGCAAUUAGAAAAUGUGAAUCGGAGGCCCCCACAUUCCUUGGAUCUGUAUAGACACUUGAUGGACACAAAAUGUUUUCCAGAACCGUGCAAUCAUGGGCAUCUAUUUCUUCUAUACUUGAUGGAAGCUCUGGUAAUGAUUGAAGCCUCUUGCAAUAACCCAACCUAAGGCCUUUGAGCUGUGAAAGUUGAUGAGGCUUGCAGGUAGAGUAACAAAAUUGUUUCCGCUCAGAUCUAACUAUUCCAAUGAGCACAGAGAGCUAAAGUCAUUGGAAAUUGCUCGUUCCGAUAUGUUGCAAUCACUUAGAUUUAACUUUCUUAGGGAUCUUAAACCAGAGAAAGAAGGCAGUUGCAAACCCCCAGAGUGUGGAAUUUCUGCGGGCAACAACUGGAAAAAGAGGAGUGAAUUCCUUGGCUUGAAUUCUAGUCCUUUACAUCCCUUAAAUGAUAAUACUUCAAGGUUUUCCAAAAGAGAAAUAGAGGGUGGCAGCUCUUUUAUAGCAGUUCCUGCUGCUUUGAGCUUCUCUAAACCUUGUAGGCUCCCCAAACCCUCUGGCAAAUUGUCUAGUUUUGAGAAACCAGAUAGAAUAAGAGUUUGAAGGGAUUUCAAUGUACAAAUGCUGUGGAAGAAUUGCAAGGCUUUUGCAUUCUCUCAGAUUCAACAGAACAAGUCCACUUAGAUGUUGGAUUGAUGAAGGUAGUUCUUUUAUAGCAGUUCCAUCUAAGAAAAGUUCCAACAAACUCCACAUAUUUUCCAAGACCUCUGGAAGCUCUCUGAGUUUUAAGCAAUCUGAGAGAAUAAGAAUUUCAAGGGAUCUCAACUUAUAAAUACAGCUUGAUAAUGACUCAAGGUUUUGACGGUUCCUCAGAUUUAAUAGAACAAGUCUAGUAAGAUAUUCAAUCGACAAGGGCAAUCCUUUUAUUCCAGUGCCCUCCAAGGAAAGCUCUGAUAAAUGUUUCAUGCACCCUUGGACCUCUGGAAAUUUCUUGAGUUUCGAGCACCUGGAGAGAGUAAGAAUUUCAAGAGAUUCCAUACAAAUGCUUCUUAGAAAACUCUUAAGGUUCUUGCAGCCUGCUAAUUUAAGGAAAACAACCUUGUUUAGAGCUCCAAUGGAUGGAUGAACCUUGGACAAACUUGUACAACCUUCAAGAAUUAGUCUCCUAAGGUUUAAAAAAGCAUGCAAUAUCGAGAGAUAUAUCUUUCUCUUUGUCAUCUAAUCCAUCAAAACCCAUUUUAAGCACAUUCUGAAUUUUUAUGUUGGGAAUUCUUUUUAGUUUGUCCAAUUCACUUUUCCAUUCAAGUAUGCUCUUGCUAUACAAAAAAGUACCCAAGACUUUAAGAGCUAAGGGAAGACCUUUACUAUAAUGUAUUAAUUUGUAGCAUAGCUGCAUAUAAUCUUCUCCAGGGUGGUUGUGUUUAAAGGCAUACUGACGAAAGAGUUGAAAAACUUCACUAUCCUCUAAUCCCCUAACUUCAUAAAUAGUGCUGACUCCAUGUGUAAUAAGCAAAUGCUUUUCUCUGUUUGUUAUAAUAAUUCUACCUCCUGAACCAAACCAGUCAUGGUUUCCUGCUAAAUAUUCCAACUGUUCCAAGUUAUCCACAUCAUCAAGAACAAUAAGAACCUUCUUAGAGUGGAGUCUAUCCUUUAUAAAAUUGAUUCUUGUAUUGGAAAUUUCUACAUUUGGAUUUCCAUCCUAUAAUGUUUUUGAGAGAAGUUCCAUUUGUAAAUGAUCCAGGCCAUGUUUUUGUGAGCCUUCUCUAACAUUUGCAAGAAAACAACAGCCUUCAAAUUGAGUGUAAAUUUGCUCAUAAAUAGCUCUAGCAAUAGUCGUCUUACCUAUGCCACCCAUGCCCAAAAUUCCUACACUUUGAACAUUAUCCAACCCCAUACAUAAUAGUGAAUCCAUUGCCUUUGUGUGGGAAUCCAUUCCAACCAGCCCUGCAGGAGGAUGUACCUAUCAAUUUAUUAGAUAUAUCUGAGACAAAUUCCUCAAUAAGUAUGGAUUCAUGCCUGCAAAUUUUGAGGAAGAAAAAAAAACCAAUCAUUUAAUGAAUUCAAGGAUCCAUUGAAAAAAAAAAAGAAAAAUUAGAUAAAUCAUCAGUGAUUUAGUCUUGUUCUUUGCAACUUAAAAGUCAUAUGGCAACAUUAUAUCUCAGAUUUUUUCGAGUUUAAGUGUAUGUGUGUGUGUGUAUGAGAGAGAGAGAGAGAGAGAGAGAGAGAGAGAGAGAACUGUAUUGCUAUCUAGACAAACAGACAAUCAAACUAGAUUAUAAUAGCAAGCAUCUGCCACACUUCCUAGUAGUCUGCAUAAGGAACUUCUUAGAAGUGAUCAGGAUAAAAUACUAGAAAAGCCAGUGGAAGCAUGUUUAAGACUGCAAUACCAUUGAUUGACAGUAGGAUCACUAAUUCCGAGUUAAGCAUAUUGGCAGGCAAAAAUUCUCUCCCAAAUGGUUGAAAAAAUUAGGGAAUCCAAAAGCUUUUAAAAUCAUGACUAUCCAAUUGGGUUGGGCACACUACAUAGGCAUGGAACAGAGCAUGCCAAGGGACCAUUGGAAAGGAUGAAAAAGCAUUAAUCCAGUAGGGUUGAGGUCAACUUACCAAUGGAAUAAAGCACACUAAGGGGAAAUAUGCUUAAAAUGAGGUAAAAAGUUUUACAGUGUAGUCAUAACAUUCUUGCUCAAUGUGAUAAGGACUGACCAAUGUGUAGCUUCAAACACCUUCUGCAGAAAGGAGGGAAAGGGUCAUUGAUAUUAUGGUCAAGUGAGUUGAAGUCACAAUUCAAUGAGGGUCGGGAAAAGUUCAAUGUGUUGGUGGAUUGGAUCCAAGUUAUUCCAUCUUCAUAAUUUUGAUCACAGCCAUGGAGAGAUUUCCUUGCAUAUGUGAGAUCAAGUGCAUCUAAACAUCAUUCAGUCAUAGGCAGCAAAAUACAACUUAAUCCAUACAUGGGUUUAAGUCAAUCAUCUUGGAUCAAUCUCUCUAUUGAUCAUCCUAUGAUUUCAAAUUUUAUAUGGCUAUGCAAGCUUUAAAGCUUCAGCAUCAUUACAUCAUACACCUAAAAGGCAAAGGAAAAAAAAAUUGCAGUUAAAAAUACCUAUCUCGAGAAUCCCAUCCAGAAAUUUUGGCAGCUUCAGUCAAAGCCUCUCUCCACUUGAUCACUUUCUCCAUCUGCUCCUUAUAAACCUCUUCAUGCUUAGCAAAUGCUUGUGCAAAACACCCUGUCUGUUUCCUCACAUGAGAGGGAUCCAAAUUGUAGAAAACUGGUAAAGCUGCGCGUCCCAUCACCUUGGUGCAGUCAAUAAUCUUGACAAGUUCCUCCAGACACCAAGUUGAAGAAGCAUAGUUUUCAGAGAAAAUGAUGAUGGAGAACCUGGACUCUUCAACUGCUUUUACAAGUGCUGGAGAGAUCUCUUGUCCUCUACCGAGCUGGUCAUCGAUGACAGUGUUGACUCCUCUUUGACACAAAGCUCUAUGAAGAUGGUCAAUGAAGCUUUUGCGGGUGUCUUCCCCUCUGAAACUCAGGAACACGUCUUACUUCCAUUGAUGUGUACAAGAUGAAGAUGAAGAAGCCAUUAAAUUGGAAAAUUGAUAGCUUAAUUGUGGGAUAGAAUUAUAAGUGAGUCAGAGAAUGAAUAAAGACUAAACUGAACUGAAGAGAAAAUUAUAUAUGGCUUGACAUGCAAAUAGCAAAUCACCAUGUGCCCAGAAGUUUCUUGUGAGCUGCCAUUGAAGUUUCGAUCUACUCUUUCAAUGAAGUGGUCAGACUUUUUUUGGGCCGCUUAGCUUUAUCGUUAGGAAAGUUCUUCACACCCAACUUUUACAUUUUUUACCACCUGUCGCUUGGACAUUGGAGGGAAGUUUUCCAAGUACGAAAAAUUGACCGAUAAUUCAACGUGAUCGACAAUGUUGUAAAUAUAUAAUAUAUAUUUUAUUAAAAUUUUAAAAAUUAAAAAUUUAUAACAUUUAUUUCUUCAGUUUUAUAUAAAUAUAUUAAUAUUUUAAAUUUUAUUAAACAAAAUAUCUAUAAUAUUUAAAUAUGAAAAUAUCUAUAUAAUCUUAUAUAUAUAUAUAUAUAUAUAUAUAUAUAUAUAUAUAUAUGUUUACUUAUAUUAUUUUUGAAAUAACAUAUGUAAUUUAUUUUUUGUUUUUAUAAUUUUUAACAUCAACAAAAGAGUAAUAGAGUGGUGCAACCUUGCUACUACGAACUUGUCGUCCAAACUUAUUUUCCUACAAAGAUCCCAUAUAGGAAAUAAUAGAGUGGUCCAAUAAAUAAACCCCUCAAAAAGAAGGAUAGGUCAUUUGGUUGUUGGAAAGAUUUAUGUAUUUUUAAAUUAUUUAUAAACAGAAAAAAUGAUGAAUAAAUUUUAAGACUUGUAAAUAUUUGAUCAAGUUAAUUUAAACUUUUUUUAUUUUUUCACUUUCUUUCUCCUAUUUUUUUUUUCUCACAUUUCCUUUUAAACUUUUGGAAUAAAUUCCUUACUAUUUGUGGAGUUUUAAUAUAAUUUUUUUUUUCUCUAUGAUACAUAUUUAUGCAAUGGUUAAAUUAUUUUGAAUGUAUAUUUUUACCUUAACAAGAAACUUUUCUUGAAUGAAGAUUAUUUUCACCUUAUUUUUAAAAUUGUGUUUAUAUUUUUUAAAUAUGAAAAUUACUAUUUUGAUUUCAAAACAAUGAGCCAUUUUUAAAAGAUAUUUUACAAAAUAGUUUUUCAGAUAUAUUAAUUGUGACACUCGAAGAUCAAAGACAGUCAGUUCACUUGUCAAACCUAAAGAGUCCAUCACAUGAAUGACCUUAACUAACAAUUCCAACAAGUAAUUAGUUGACAACUUCCUCAAAUUGAUUCAUAACAAUAAUUAGAGCAUAAAUAAAAUAAGAAAAAAAUUAUAAAUUUCUAACUCAUAACUAAUUAAAAAUAUUUGAAUAACAAAUUCAAAGAUCAUCCGCCAACACUUUGAAGAGUUUUAGAAAUCAAUACUAAAUUCAAUCUUAAUUUAAAGCUCCUAAAUAAUUAAUUGUAAAGCUAAUUUCAAAUGAAAUACUUUCUUAUCUCAAUUUCCCUUCAUUUAUAUCACUAGUACCUAAAAAGUGAAAUAAUAGAGAAGAGUGAACUUAAAACUUAGUUAGGAAAAAUAGUUCAAUAAGGAGGAUCAUGUAGAGUAUAAAGCUAAAUCCUGGGACAUAUCACAUGUUUAUAAAAAAAAAAAAAGAAAUGAUAAGUUGGAGUUCAUUUAAUUCAAUAAUUAAAUUCACAUAAAUUCACCCUUUUACAAAAAAAAAAAAAAAAAAAAAAAAGGCACUAGGAGUCCAAAUAGGCUAAGAGGCUUGAAUUGAACCUUGGCUACCACUUGGCUAAGAUGUUAUUUAUAAAUAUAUAUUUAAUUUAAAUAUCUUAAAGUUCAGUAUUUAAAAAAAUAAUUCUAAUUAUUUUAUUUUAAAUUUUAUUUAAUUGAUUAAUAAAAAUAUAAAAACCAACAUUAUGAUUUUUGUUAACAAGUCUUUUUUUAUAUCAUUUAUAUGAUAAUUAAAUAUAAAAAUAUAAAUAUUAAAAAAUCAUAUAUGUAUCAUCAUUUAAUUUACAUUAUUAAACACAUUUAAAUUAAAUAAAUUAUAAUUUUAAUAUUAAAUGUAUUAUCAUUUAUCUCAUCAAUUCUAUUUUAAAAAAAUAACUAUCACUUCACUUUUAAAUUUUUUAUAUUUAUCCUUUUAAUUUUGCAUGUCUUUAUUUUAAAAUAUUAAAAAUAUAAAUUGAUUAAAAAAAACUAAAAUGUAUAAAAAAAAAUUAAUAAUGAAGUUUUAAUAUUUUAUAAAUUAAAAUUAAUUUGAUAAGAUAAAUAAUAAAUUAUAUAUUCAAAUCGAUAUAACUUUGCUUACGGAUAUUUUUCUCCUUAACUAUACCUAUGUUAAUUACGCUUAUAAAAUAUUUUAACAUGUGCAUUUUUACUUAUUUUAUCAUUUUUUUUGAGUUUUUCCAAAUAUUUGCAUAAAUUUUGAAUAAAUAAUUUUCACCUCAUCAAAAUUAUUGUCAAAAUAUCUAUCGAUAUUCUGAUAUAUCCGUAAACUUUAAGUACCAAUGUUUACCGAUAUUUCGAAUGAUAUCUUCAAAACCAAUAUAAUAAAUUAAACGAUAAAAUUCACUUACAUAACAAUAAACAUAUCAUAUGAUAUUCCCAAUUUAUUUUAUAAACUAAGGAACAAAUCAUAACAUUUUUAGCAAAAUAUUAUUUGAUCCACUUUAGGGAAUUUAAACAUUUUGAUAGUUUAAAAAUAGAUAAAGACAAAUAAGGAAUUUCAAAAUGGCUUACCAUACCAUUAACCCCUACCUUGAAGAUAUCAUUCAAAAUCCCAAAAAACUUAAUCCACUCCUAAUAUAAAUAUAAAUAAAAAAUAAUUAUUAAAGACUAAUUAUCUAAAUUAAUGGCUUCCUAAAUUUUUUGUAAAACUUAUUUUAAUUCCAAACCCUCUUCUAAAAAUCUAUUUUUUUAAUUAAAUUUUUUAUUAACCAUAUUAUUAUUAUUAUUAUUAUCAUUUUUCACUUCCCAUAACUACAUUAAUGGGUUUUGUUUAAUUAUUAAUGUUAAUAUUCUUCUUCUUUUUUUUUCAUGGUAGGAAGUAGGAUAAUUAUUUAUUAAUUUACUACUAUUUUUACUUACCUCCUACCCAUAACCCAAAUCUUAUUAGUAGUUUAUUAUUUCUUUGCUACAACCACUUUCCUCGUUUCCUCAAUUCUUCUUCCUAUUAAUCUCAUGCUUAAAGAAAGAGAAAAGAAUUUAAAAAAUAAAUCAUAACUUACCUUAAAUUUCGUAAUGAAUCAAAUUAAAAAAGUUUCUUUUUUUCUAACCCUUCAAACCAAACUUCUCUAAAGGCCUUUCUAUUGUUUCUUUUCCCUCUCUAUUGCAUCUUUUCCGUAUUUAAUAAUGCGGAGAAAUCAAAAUGAUAUAAAGUUUGGAUUUCCCAAGAUCCAAAAAAAUAGUUGUUUCACUAUUUAAUUCUUUAUCUUAAGGCAUGAAUGGAACCACAUGCACUAAAAUUGAGAAUCACUCUAUUUCACAGCAUAAAGUAUUUCAUCUUCUUUUUUUAGAUAACUUUUCUUCUCGAGUUCUUUCAGUCUUUCUUUUCCAGAGAAAAGUUUAUUGGGGUGAUUUUUUGGGCAAUUUCUAGUAGUUCCAACUCCUAGAAACUGCUCCACCCUUGAUCUUUUAUUUGGUUAGGUUGGGUUGGGUCACCUCGACUUGGGCACCCACCCAACUCCAACAAUAUUUAAGUAUUUAAUAAAGUAAAUGAUUGAAUUACUAUGAACAAGUAUAAUGAUCAAAACAAAAAUUUUACUUUUUUAUGUUUUAAUAUAAAAUCCAACCUCUAAUUGAACAAAUCAUUUACCAUUUAAAAAUAUUCUUAACAUCUUCAUUUUCUUUUUGUGUUUUUGAAAGUUCAUUUUUAUUUUAACUAGAUCAAAUAAUAUUUGUAUAAUAAUGCCUUUAACAUACAUUUUUUUAAUGAGUAAUACCAAAUAAACAUCUCAACAAAUAUUAUAUAAGAUGAUCAUUAAUUUCACUAUCUUCAUUUUAUUUAUGUUAUUCUUCUUUAUCCAAUAGAUUUAAUUAUGUGUUGUAAAAUGAACAAGGACCUCUAUAGUUAUAAUCUCACUUAAAAAGUUGGAGAAGUUAUCUCUACAUCUAUGAUUCAUGUGUGAAAUAAAUUGUUUUUGUACUUCCAUCAUCAAAGAUGCAUGUAUGUCUAAGAAUGGCAAAAGAAUCUAUGAGGUCAAGAAAAAAAUGAAAAAAAAUUGAUAUGUUUUUUUAAAAUUUAUUUCAUUUUUUUUCUAUUCUAUAUAAAAAUUCAGUAUAUAUAACUUUUUAACUAAUUUUAAUUAUAUUUUUCUUUCAUAUUUUAUAUAAUAAAUAAAAAAAGACAUUUUUUAAUAUUUCAACUAUAACAAGGUGGGCAUAAUUAAUUUAUAAUGCUAGGAUAUUGUAACAACCUAGCCUUAAAAUUUUCUUAAAUAAAUAAUCACUUCACUAGUUAUAUAUUUUCUUAUUCCAUCAUUUGUGAUUGACACCAUAGUAUUUGUUAUACUUUGAAGUAUUUUGGUAUUAUUCUUAUCUCAUAAUAAUUCGUUUUUGAAGCAAACCCAACAUGCUUUAUAGAAAUCCUCUUCCUAAAUGAACCCCAAGGUUUUUUAUUUGUGAGUGUUGGUACAUUAAGUUAUAUAGUUUAAGAUUGAUAAUUUUGUUUCAUUCAUUUUGACUUGGGGCUUUUUUAGAUUAUGUCUUGCUCUCCUUUGAAAACUCGAAGUUGUUGUGUGAUCAACUGGAAUAACAAAGGUAAGUAUUGAAAGGUCUAGAAAUUAGUUAAGGUUGGCACGAACGUCAAGUUCUUAAACCAAGUUAAAUGUUUUUUAAAACAAUUUUAAAGAACUAAUUUGAAUUAAAUGUUUUUUAAAACUGUUUUAAAGAAUUGCUACACUUUCCACUAGAUAAAACUGUGUACUAUACUUUCAAACAAUGGAUUUGUAAUUGGAUGUCUCUAACCCCAUGGAUUUUACAUCUGCAUGUUGUGUGACUAGUUUUCCCUAUAAAAAAUCUUGCGUUCUUGUAUUGAAUAUUUUUAGCUUUCCUAAGUCAAACAGAUUAAUUUAAAAUUGUUGGAAAGUUUGAAGUUUGAAAUUUGAAUUAUUCAAAUAUUUGUUGAUUUGAAUAAGUCAUCGAAGGCUACUAAGAUUAGAAGAUAAUUUAUUUGUUUUUAAAUCUUAUCAAAUUAGGAGUUAUUUAUUCAAAUAAGGAUUGAAUAUCCACCAAAUGUUUUCUAUUUUUUUCUACUCUGGCUUCAAAAAUAAUUAUUUUUUGAGCCUAAUAGGUUCAAACACCUAUUCACCCUCUCUAGAUGUUACCUAAACUAGAUAAACCAACUUUUAAUGAGGAAAACUCAAAUUACAGAAUUUGCACUUUCAGCCAACGUAGUAAGGCUUAGACAAAUUGAAGAGUAAAUAUCCUUUCAAAUCAACCAACUAGCCUUUCAUCCAUGGAUGCCUUCUCCAAUUUAAAGAUCAUGAAAACCUCUCAAAUCAUUUCUAAAGAAAAAUAAGAGCAUUGGCUCGCCCUUUCCUUGGAGAGGCUUUGAUCUUAAUCUUCUCCAUGAGUUGUUGAAAGGGUCUUUAACAACUGCGAUUGGACUGGAUGGAGCACUUAUAUGAACUAAAAAUGAUAAAUAUAUAACUACUCAAAAGAGAUUUUCACAGAAUUGCCAACCUGCAAAUCAUUUUUAGUUAACCAGAUCUCAAAACAUUAGUCACAUCCAUGGCCAAAAUUAAGUGAAGGCUCAGCAUAAAAAAUAUGAAGAACAAGAAGCAUAAAAAGUAAAAUGUAGGCUAAAAUAAAAUGUCUUAUAUGAGCAGCUCCAAAUGAUAGCUACUUUGAACCAAUUUACCUCUAAAUAUGGUUUCUAAUUUAACUAAAGUCACAUCUUCAAAAUGAGAUUUUAAAAUUUGAACAGAGAUAUUUAUUUAUUUUAUUGGAGUUGGAUUUGAAUGUUUGAAUUGACCCAAUUCCAUAAAUUAUUAUUUAUAUAUUUUAUUGGAGUUGAAUUUAAAUGUUUGGAUUAACCCAAUUCAAUAAAUAAUUAUUUAUUGGGUUUGUGUUUGGGUACCCAAAUGGACUAAGCCAACCUAAUAAAGAUAAGGGAAAAGUUUUUGGGAACUUUAGACUGUUGAGAUAUUAGGAAUGUUUAAAUAUUAGGAAAGUUGAGAUAUUAAGAAUAUUGAGAUAUUAGGAAAGUUGAGAUAUUAGGAUAUUAGUUGUUAUUUCUUUAUAUCAUUCUUUCCUUGUAUCAUUCCUUCCCAUUCUUAGAAUGGUGAUUACCCUCUAUAUAUACUCUGUACAUGAACGAAUGAAAGUAUGAAUGGAAAAAACUAUCAUUUAUCAAUUUGAAGAUGAUAUCAGAGCCAUGGAACUGAAAUCUUGGAUAUUUUGUCGCUAUGGUAGUCCAACAAUGAUCAUCCAUCCUAAGACAAGCCCUAAUAUUGAUAAGUCAACCUUCAAAUGCACUCACUACAAUAAGAUUGAUCCCACCAAUCUGGAUAUCCCACAAUUUCAAAGCAACGACUCUUGGUAUGAUUAGGAAAACAAUGAGGAACCGAGGGUUUGAACCAUGGACCUUUAGAUCAUGUUUAGGCUAUCAACAUUUUGUUAUUAAUGAUAAUAAUCGUGAUCAACGGAAGAAGGAUUCCAAGAAAACCUCGAUUGCAACUGUUGUCGAAAUAAAAACAGAGGCUAAUGUUGUUGAGAAAGCCUUUACAUUGGUAGCCGCUACAGAUCAUGGUGGUAAGUUUUUAAAUACUUUUACACCUGUUAUUAAUAGUGCAUGGAUAAUUGAUUCUGGUGCUACAGAUCAUAUGAAUUUUGAUUCUAGACAGGUUUCACCCCUUAGACCUUCUUCACAAAAAAUUGUUUCCACAGCCAAUGGUAACACAACCCCAGUCAUUGGGGAAGGAUCCUUAACUCUUACUGAUACUUUGAAUUUGGAUUCUAUUUUAGUUGUUCCAUCUUUAGAUUACAAUAUUUUGUCAGUUUCUCAAAUCACCGCAGCCUUAUCUUGUAUUGUCAUUUUUUGGCCUGAAUUUUGUGUGAUUAAGGACAUCCAAACAAGACAGACGAUUGGUUGUGGUAUUAAGCGGGGAAAACUCUAUUACUUGGACUUACAGUCAAAGGAUUCAAAUAAGUUGCAACAAGCCUUGAUGGUAGAUGGAUCUGAGGGGGAGAAGAAAAAGUCUGAAAUUUGGUUGUGGCAUCGACGUCUGGGACAUGCUUCCUUUGGUUAUUUAAAAAAAUUGUUUCCUAGUUUGUUUGCAAAGAGUGAUAUUUCUGGUUUCCAUUGUGAUAUUUGUGAAUUGGCUAAAAUCCAUCGUGUUUCGUUUCCGUUAAUUUUGAACAAAAGUCCGUUUCCUUUUAUGGUUAUACAUUUUGAUGUUUGGGGCCCAUCCAAAGUCCCAACUUUGAGUGGCUCACAUUGGUUUGUUACUUUUAUUGAUGAUUGUACCAGAAUGACAUGGUUAUGCUUGAUGAAGAACAAAGAUGAAGUGAACUUGUUGUUUAAAAAAUUUCAUAAAAUGAUUGAAACUCAGUACAAUGCAAAGGUUCGGGUUCUGCGUAGUGAUAAUGGUGGAGAAUAUCAAAGUUUUGAUCUUCAAAAGUAUUUGGAAGGACAUGGCAUCAUUCAUCAGACUACUUGUUCCAAUACACCCUAGCAAAAUGGAGUCGCUGAACGGAAAAAUCGGCACUUGUUAGAGGUUGUUCAUGCUUCCUUGAUAGCAACAAAAACACCAAUAUCUUAUUGGGGAGAAGCAAUCACAUCUGCCGCAUACUUGAUCAAUCGGGUACCUUCCAACUCAAUUAACUUCCAAACACCUCUCCAAGCUCUUACUAAUGCCGUAGUUGCCCCAACUGUCCCAAAUCUACCUCCUCGUGUUUUUGGUUGUGUGGCAUUUGUGCAUCUACACAAACACCAACGCACCAAGUUAACNNNNNNNNNNNNNNNNNNNNNNNNNNNNNNNNNNNNNNNNNNNNNNNNNNNNNNNNNNNNNNNNNNNNNNNNNNNNNNNNNNNNNNNNNNNNNNNNNNNNUCAUACAAGACCAGAUCUUGCUUAUACAUUGAGUGUAGUGAGUCAAUACAUGCAUAAUCCUAGAGAGCAACAUAUGAAUGCAGUUAUGCGUAUUUUGAGGUAUUUGAAGAAUGCUCCUGGGAAGGGAAUUUUGUUCGCUAAAAAUGUUAAUCAUCAGAGUAUAGAAGUAUAUACUGAUGCUGAUUGGGCCGGUGCAGUGGAUGAUAGGCGAUCUACAUCUGGUUACUUUACCUUUGUAGGUGGUAAUCUUGUGACAUGGAAAAGUAAGAAGCAGAAUGUCGUCGCUCGUUCAAGUGUAGAAGUAGAAUUUAGAGGUAUGACUCUAGGACUUUGUGAGGCAUUAUGGCUAAGACUUCUCUUACAGGAUUUAAGUUACCUAUCUAGGCAACCAAUCCGAUUGUUUUGUGACAAUAAAGCCGCAUGUGACAUUGCUCAUAAUCCAGUACAACAUGAUCUUACAAAGCAUGUCGAGGUGGAUAGAUUCUUCAUUAAGGAAAAGUUGGAUGAUAAGAUUGUGGAAUUGCCUAAGAUUCGAUCAGAAGAUCAAUUGGCCGAUAUCCUCACCAAAGCUGUCUCAUGUCAAGUGUUCUCAAAAUUUUUAGACAAGUUGGGCAUGUGUGACAUCUAUGCACCAACUUGAGGGGGAGUGUUGAGAUAUUAGGAAUGUUUAAAUAUUAGGAAAGCUGAGAUAUUAAGAAUAUUGAGAUAUUAGGAAUAUUGAGAUAUUAGGAAAGUUGAGAUAUUAGGAUAUUAGUUGUUAUUUCCUUAUAUCAUUCUUUCCUUGUAUCAUUCCUUCCCAUUCUUAGAAUGAUGAUUACCCUCUAUAUAUACUCUGUACAUGAACGAAUGAAAGUAUGAAUGGAAAAAACUACCAUUUAUCAAUUUGAAGAUAAACUGCUCUAAAACUAUUACGAAAAUAUAAAUAGUGUGAAUCUCCAACUUUCUCCCGAUGAGAAAAUAGAAAAGAAAAUAAUUAUUCUUUCUAAGACAAAGUCCCUUCUGGAAUUUUUUUUUCCUAUUUUUUCUAUAAAAAUGAGAGUCAAGAUUUUUAUGCCAAGAAAAUAGAGUAAUUCUUAUAUUUGUAGUUUUAUUCUUAAAAAAUAAUCUGAAAUUGAGACUUUCAAGCAUUUUAAAAGAUAAUCUGAAAUUUCUUUCAAUAUAUAAGCCUUGUACGUGAUGUUGGUUGACUAUUAUGAUAGUAAAUUCGGGAGGAUGCUUGCAUGUAAAAAUUUCAUUUUAUUUUAUUUUUAAUCAUGGAGCACAUUUUAUGGAUUAUGAUUUAUAAUACUGCAUCAAUGGUCAUGAACAUUGCAAUUAUGAUUUUUUUUGAGAUGUUUAAAUGGACGUGGAAGAUAAGAAAUAGAUUUUCUAUUAAGAUAUUUGAAUGGAGAUGAAAGCAUGGGUAUAGGUUUGUACUAAGGAAAUGAACAUAUGAUUAAAAUAAACCUGAUACAGUUAGUCUAUAAGAAUGGAUCCUGUUUCUAACCUUUUAACACACAAAUUUGGAAACCUAAACCUAUGGAUUGUUUCUUUCCUAUAAUGGAAUCCUAUGUUCCUUCUCAAAGCAGCGCUGACUUUUCCCUUCCUACCAACUACAAAGAGAAAAUCUUGACUAAUCUCGAUAAAGGUUUAUUUUAUCUAUACAUGCGAGGUCAAAGUUUUAAAAGUAUUCUACAUAUAUUUUAAAUUUAUUCUAAAAUAAUGUGUUUGAUUAAUUUCUUGGUCAAUUCUCAAAGUCAAACUUGUAUUUUGAAUUGGAAAAUUCUAGAGAUUCUAAGAAACUCGUCUUCUACGAUACACAACCUGAUUGAAGCUGAGCUGUGAGAAAUUUUCACAAUUGUUAGCAUUCUUCAGGCAUUUGGUUUAUUUAAAUUUUGGUAAGUAAUCAAAUAUCAUACACAACCUGCUCUUUGAAGUGGUCCUGGAAGAACAUUCAAAACCAAUACACAUUCAAAUUACUUCGCUUAUAUUGAUACGCGGCGAGGAAUUGUUGAUACCCAAGCCACACGUGAUCUGAUUUAAUGAAUCUGUGCCUGUCAUCCGAAGAAUUCUGGAUUGAUGGGAGCAAAAAGGUGACCAGUUUUACCUUGAGUCAAAUUCAAAUGACAAAAUAUAUUACCAGGGCAAUCAUGGACAGCACCCUUAACUACAAAAAUAGCGCACACAGCCAAUCCCAUCAACCUAGUAUUACACCAAUUUGGAGGCUGAUGUACCGUUACUUUGGAGUCUAUACUCUGUUGGCUGAACCACUCAGGAAUUUAACUUCCAGGAACAAAAGUAUUGGAUUCAAUAUGUGGAGUAUAUGGUACCAUCCAGGUCAUGAAAAUCAAUGUCAAGUUAUAUGGAAAUAAUAUAGGAGUAGUGCUCAAAGGAGUAUAAGAAUUAUUCCAUAGGAUUUAAUUGAUUUACUUUUACAAUAUGAUCAAGAGAGAAAGGAGAGAAACCUGGAUUGGGAAUUGAAAUCUUGGUAAUUUAUUAGCCAGACUUUGCAUUUCCCUUAAUGUAGCUGCCACAAAGUUUAUUUUUUCAUUAAUAUAAAUUAAAUAAUUAAAAUACCUAAGUUUUUCAAAAUUUUUAAUCAUGGUAGUGGGCCUUUGAUUAACCAUAGAUAGCCCAUGCAUCAUUUUCCAAAGUGAAGCACAACAACCUUACAACAGUGAUGUCACAUAGCAAUUCAUUAUUCAUUAUUUUGUUUACCCUUUUCAAUGUGGAUUUUCUUAAAGCUAUUAAAAAAACACACAAUAUCAAGAUUUGAGCGUGGGUCUUUCACAAUAUCUUUUAUAUACUAAUAAUUAUAAAUUAAUUAAAAUGAAAUUAUUAUAAAUAAGCUAAUUUUAAUUAUCUUAUUAUGUCUCUUAUAAAGUGAUUAGAUAUAGGACAAAUAUAAAUUUAUAAAUAAAAUUAUUAACAUUUUCAAAUAAAAAAUAUAAAUAUAUAUCAAUUUUUUUUAUAUCCUUUAAUAUAUCUAAACUUAAUGCAUUAUCAUUUUAGUAUUAAUAUUUUCCAAUUCGGUAUAUUAUUGUCUAAGAUUACAAAUUUAUCAAUUUUUCUUAAAACAAUAUCAAUAUAAACAUUAUUAUUUUUCUAUCAUUUUUUGAGUUAUUUCCAACAUUUCAUGAGGUUUUAUCAAUUUCCAUCUCAUAUAUAUAUUUUAGAAUUUUCAUUGAUAUUUCUUUAUAUAUCUAUAAACUCCAACUAAUGAUAUAUCGGUAAAAAUCAAUAUUUUCAUUCUUAUUUAACAUAAGAAAGAAAAUUAUUCAAAUGGUGCAUAAAUUAAUGUGACCUCCUGAUGAGAAUGACAAUGACAACCAUGAGUCAUAAUUAGUGUAUGUGUGUGGUAAAUUAACUUAGUGUUUGAUAAAAUAAUUAUUUAUCAUCAUUUAAAAUUUAAAAAUAAAUUUAAAUAUUAAAUCAAAAUAAUUAACUUAUUCUAAAUACUAUUUUUUUUUUUAUUCUCUUUGUUCAUAUUUGGUGAUAACCAUGCUUUAUUUUUAGAAUUCUUUUUUUUUUUUUAGUAAAUAUUUUGUAGUUAUUUUGUAGCUUCACAAUAGUACUUUUUAAUAUAAAUGUUUAACAAGCUUAAGUUUAUGAAGAUAAAUAUUAAGAAAAAUUAAUGAGUUUAAAUAUAUCAAUAUAAUAACUUUUAAAAAAUUAAGUUGAUUUUACCAAAAUAAAAAUAAAAAUAAUUCAUCUUAAAAUUAAUUUCAAUAAUUAAGUAAUAAGGAUUAAGUUUUAUCAUACACUCUCUUAAUUAAUAAAUGACAUAACUUCUUUCAACAAAUUCUUCGUUCUACUUUUGAAAAAAAAAUAAUAAUAACGUGAUAUUUAUUUAUUUAUGUCUAAAAUUUAAAUAUACUUGAAUUUGACUUAAAUCUAAAUAUAGCUUAAUAUUAUUAAGUGUUCAGACUAUUUUUUUUAUUUGUGUCUAAAUAUUAUUAACUGUUAAAUUGUUUCUUUUUAUUAAUAUCAAAAUAUGUGAAGUGUUAAAUUUAUUUAUUUAUGGUUAAAAACAUUUAUAAAAGUAAUUGUUAUAUUUCUUCUUAUUUUAAUUUGAAAAGUUAUAAUUUAACAAAAUAGUAAUUUAAUUAACACAUCUAAAAAAUAUUAUAAUACAUUGUCAAAGUAAAAAUUUUAUAAUGAUAAUUAUGUAAUUAGUAAAUUAUAUUAUUGUACAAUCCAUUGUUCCAUGUCGUAUAAUAUAGAAUAGCUAUGCAUACCCAUCAGUGCAUAGACAUAUAUCUUUUGAUAAUCUAUCAUGAAUGUCACGUGGACUCUAAGUGAAGUAUGUAGCUAUUAUAGUAUAAAGAUGGCAUAGGAAGAGGCUCCGGGUUUACUAGUUCUCACUCAACCAUAGCAAUAGGGAAUAUAUUGCACAUUAUUUUCAUCUAAAAGAAAGGUAGAAAGACCUUAGAAAUGGAACUUUUAGAUAAAACCUAAGGGUGGCAAUGAGAUGAGUCUAAGAAGGAUCACUUCAAUCUCAAUCUUAUGUCAUUUAUUUAUAUUAAAUGGGGUGAGAUAAGACAAAAUUAUAUUCGAACCUGUCUUGAACUUGGUCCGAGGGCAAGAAGGGUCUUUACAAAAAUCAGCCUCAUUGUCAUUCUUAGGUACGCAUCUAUACCAAUGAAAGUUUUUACAUCUAUUAAAAAAUUUAAUGUUCCCGAUGUUAAUUAACUUCACCAGACUACAUACACUUCAUAAUCGUGAAAAAGUGUCAAAAUUCUCAACCAAUCAAUGACAUAAACUACAAUCAAGUUUAGUACAUCGGAACCCUAAAAUACCUCCAAACCCCAUUUCUUGUAAGACCCCCUUCUGAUUAGGUUGCAAAUGUUGAAGUACUUUAUACACCUAAUUAGGCGAACAACAAGUGUCAAGAUAAGACUGCAAGCCAUACAUAUACAUAUGCAUAUAAAUUUGAAAUUGAAAGAAAAUAUUAUGGGUCUUCAUAUUUGAAAUUUUAAAAAGAUAAAUUUCAAUUUUUUUUUUUUUUGUCUUUGAUACAUUUUUUGAGCUUGUACCAUUUUGUUUUACAUAUUCAUUGGAGUAUUUCUUCAUCAUGGGUCUUCAUCCAUUAGAGCACCAAGGAGAGCAAGUUCAUUGGCACGUGCUUUAAUGGUAUGUAGGAAGGUAGUGAUGCUUUGCAAACCCUUGGUGUGAUUCUUAAGGUGGUUGUUGACUUGUUUAAUGUAGACAUGUGAUAGUUUGACAUAGGUAUUGGUGAAGAUGAUCUAUGCUUCACGAAAGAUUGUGGCACAGGCAAUGAAUGGAAUUAUGGUGGGUGAAACGGAGCCAAUAAGUGUAUUUAGGAUCAAUUGAUCUUGACGAAGCAAGAAUAGGUUGGGUUGGGUAUUACAGUGUCGUUGGCAUAGUGGUGGGUGGACAAGGUUUGGUUCUAUCAAUAUAGCUAAGGCGGUCAAAGCCAAUAAAUAGUGUUUGGAAUUGAAAUCUUUAUGAUAUGUAGUUGGUAGUGGUUAGUUUAAGUAGGGCUCGAGCAAAAACAUUUAUUGAGAUGAGUAUUUGGUGUGACUCAUGGGUGUUGUGAAUAUUGAGAGUAGAAGUUACAGAAGUGGUGACAUCUUAGGUGGCCAUGAGGCUAUGAUGAUGGGGAGGAGCAUUAGAUGGCUUUGGCAUAGAAAAAGAGGUAAGAAGGAAGAACAAGUGGUGGUGAGGGUUUUCAGGUUAAGAAGCUUGAAUGCUCUGAUGUCAUAUUGAAGAAUGAGAUUGGUUAAUUAUUUUUCUAGGUUGAUUCUAUGUUGCUUAUAUGCAUGAUUCACCAAGGGUUUCUGACAAGCAUUAGCUAAGGGUGGCUGAACCCAAUGACAGACCAGAUGAAGGAUUAAUAAUAUAUUGCACUCCAGCAGUUCAACCAAUUCCUUUCGUUUCCUUAAUGACUUCUUUUGGUGACCUAUCAAUUUCUCUCUUGGAAAGUCUAGUAAUGGGUUGCCAAUUACCUAAAAGUUACUUCUGAGGUUUUGUUUUGUUGAUUCUAUGCUAACUGAUAAUCUGCAGAGGAAACAACUUGUUCGUCUGGAGAAGGUCUUGAAGCACUGUGAUGAAUUUGACCAGAAGAGUAAACUCAUCAAGUCCAUAUUAAGUCAUCAGGUUCCAGUAGAGCUAUUUCAAAAACUUCUUUAAUGCAUUAGCAUUUAAAAAUUGAACAAUAAAAUAACAUAUAUUAUUGAUACUAUCAUUUAAAACAAGAAAUAUAUUGUUGAUAAUGGCAUUUAAAACAAUAAAAUAGUGCAUUAGACCUGCAUUCAAAUCUUCAAUUCUCAAACACCACCAACCCACCCAUGAAUAGAGAAAGAGAAGAGAACCCUAGCAAAAGUAGAGAGCUUCAAUUCUCAAAUCUUCAAUUUUCUUUUUAUGUGUUCAAGUCAUUUUUAUUUGUUAAAUGAUUCCAGCUACUACUUGGGUCUAGUAUUUCCUUGGUGUAUAUAUCAUGCACUUCUCAGUAGAAUGCCCAUAGACAUGGAGAAACAAUUUUUUAUUUAUUUGCAAUGCCUAAUAUAAAAUUUAAUAAGCACCUAAUUUUUUAUUUCAGCUAUGAAUGGUAUUUUUCUCUAGAUCAUAAGUACGUUGGUUGAAUUUUAAAAAAUUUAUAUCAUUUCAGCCACUAAUUAAUAUCAUGCAAUAGAAAAACAAAGUUGAAAUUUGGGAUAAUAAAUAUCAUUAAAGUACAAAGAAAGUAACUUAUUGGGAGCAAAUUCUUCACAACCUGGCAUUGGCCUUUAGAUUAAAUAAUUUAUUAAUAAUCUCCUCUUUCUUUCUAAACUUAUACCGCUGUUUAUGAAAGUUUCUAAAAACCAAAGCCCAAAGCCUAGACUAUAAAAAGGAAAUAAUCACUUGGAGAGGGGUUGUUUGUUUUUCUUGAGAGCCUAAUAAAUGCAACGACAUAGACAGAAAGAGGCGGAAGAGUUGAGUCGGAGGAUCAAGAAACACAACCAUUCUUCUCUUUCAUUAGGGUUUUUGGCUGACUCUAAGGCCGUCUUACCUUCCUCUUAGAAUGAUGGCCUCUCGUUUCUAUACAUAUCCUUCCAUGCAUUUUCUGGCUCUCCCAUUCUCUUUUUCAAAGCUACAUCUUUCCUCAUAGACCCUGUUUGGUUUCUAAGAAAGUGGUCUAGGUCUCUUUCUUUUUCUUGAUUUAUCUUUGGUUUACAAGAAUCAGGAGUGAAGUAAAGUGGGUUCUUGAUUUAUGUUUGAUUUCUCUUUUUCAAACCUAUGUUUUGAUCUUUUCUCUCCAGCUCUUGUGGUCUAGGUCUAAUAUGCGUUGUGUUUUCUUUCUUUUUGUUUGGUUUUCCAAGAAAGUGAAGGAAAAGGAACUCUCUACUCUCUUUUUCUUGGUUCACCUUUGGCUUACACUCUUGGCACAUUCCACUUAGGAUUGUCCUCCUACAUCCUUUGAUGCUUUAGUGUGCAAUUGUGGUCAUUAACUGAGUUGUUUUUAAGCCCUUAUUGACGGUCCAUUGAGACAUUUUAGAGGGAUUAGGUGGAUCCCUAUCUUGAUUUUAGUGAUUUUUGAAUCUUAGUUCAGGACUUUGUUUUAAUUGAUUUAUAACAUAUUUAGGCUUGUUUAGAACUUUUAAAAUUCAUAAUUUUGAAUGUGCCAAAUACCCCCUUCCAUCAAUUCCAACUGCAGCAACUGCCAUUCAAAGAUGCUAGCCACAUAUUAAACCCAUGCAUGAACCCCCAGCCAGAUACCCAUUUUUUCCUCCAUCCAUCAACCACCUUCUUACUCCCACCACCGCCACUGCUCACCAUUCCCACUUCUCCUCCACCACCAUGGCCACCACCGCUUCCGGCUCUGUCUUCCUCCUUCUGCUCCUUGCCGCCGGCGAUGGCAGAGUCAUAAGCAACCGCACAUCGUCCACCGGCCUAGUCUCUGACGGCGUCCACGACCACCCCAAUGGUUUGCCUUAUCUUCUUCUCGGGUCUUUUUCCGCCGUCUCAGCCUCGGAUUCAUGCGAUCAUACAGCAAACCCAGAUAGAAAUCAAACCUCCACAACCCGCUCACCUUUUCCAUGCCGGUGAUGAUCAAGUGCGACAACAGCAGGUUCGGUUCUUCAAGUCUGGCACUCAAAAGAGAGAGGACAACUGGGUCAUCUCCCUCUUCGUGGUCCUCCACAUUGGGCCCUUCUUGCAUCGCCUUGGAUUUGAAACCGACCGGUUUAGAACCAUAACUCCUGCACGUGAGAGAGAUCACCAUGAGCCAUGCAAGGGAGCAUGCCAGUCACGUUCUCUAACUGCCAUGCAUCGGGAAUAUAAAGAUCACGCCAGAAAGAAUAAAGAGGGCCGUUCUAGAGACUUCGGAGGAGGAGAGAGGAAAGGAAAACUGACACAGAGAGUCUCUGUUUCUGGGCGUUUUUUGGAAGAGAGUUCAAAGAUCUUCUUUCUGUAGAAGAUCAUCACAUGCACCGAUUCAAAGAAUUUAGAGAGCUUCUCGUUAGAGUCAAGGUUCUCGUCAUUGUAGACCUUCAUGAACAUCUUCUUCACGGCAGCAUUGGCAUCCCGAUUCCUGAACCUCCAUGAUUGAUUGACCUCCAUCAUCUUCACGAUCGUGCACAAGUUCUGAAAGAAGAGACGUGAAUCUCUUCUUCGUCUUCACUCUCUAUACUUGUAUCUCGAAGGUUAUCCCGGUUUCUAUGUGCAUCGGAUCUCCAUAGAUGAACUCGGAUUUUGCAUUGAUCUGAAUCUCAAGCAUGCAUUAUUUCCAUAUUGUGCUGCCAAACUUGGUGUUUUUCUUCAUUUAUUCUUCACCACAACAGUUGGACAUAAAGGUUAGUCUCGAUGAAUCUUUACCAUUUGAAUUAGUUUAUUAAUGAUUUUUAAGUUAUUCAUUGAUAAAGUUAAGGCUAAGAGAUGAAAUUGGUUUGUUGAUUUUGAAACUCAGGGCUGUUUGUGACAUACUUUUAUCAAAAUUAGAGAAUGAAUAGAGGCUGACUAUGAUUACUAUAUCUAGAUAUAUGUUAUGGAAUAAUGGCAGUUGUAGUAAAUAAUACACAAUGGGUUACGGGAUGAUGUUGAUGCUUGUUGAUUUUUUUAAUAAAAGCUACAUAUAGAAAAGUAGAUGUAUAACCAGCCAUAAGUGUUUUUAGUGGCUCUUGAUGACAAGUUAUGGUGCCUUGUUCAUAUGUAUUAUUUUUUUCUUCAACAUGUUUAGUGUUGUCAUUUUAGUUCCAUAAAUGAACCUUGGGGCAAGGUUGGACAACUGAUGGCAACUAGGCAAGGCUAAAAGUCAAUUUUUGCUCGACCUUUUGGGCAUGGGCAGCAAUGUGUGGACCCCUCUUUAGCAUGAAAAUGGCUAGAACAUGUUAAGCUCUCUUAUUAGAUAAUGUGUUAACUAUAGGGCAAUCAUAGGAUGGGGAAUAUAUGGUAAUUAUGCAAAAAAAAAAAAAUUUGUAUCCAAUUAUAUAGAAAGACAUCUUCCAACAUUUAAUAUAAAUAUACAAAAAUUAAGAGAAAAAAAUUUAAAAAAACAUAUUAAACCGAAAAAUAGGGGCUUAAUAAUAAAAUCAAGUAAAAAGGUAAAAUUAAAACCAAGUAUUAAAUAUGAAUAUAGUUUAAAUAUUAAAAAUAUUAUUAUUUAGGUUUAAUCAUUGGGUUUGCUAGAGGAGUUUAUAUAUAUAUAUAUAUAUAUAUAUAUAUAUAUAUAUAUAUAUAUAUAUAUAUAUAUAUAUAUAUAUAUAUAUAUAUAUUAAUUUUUUCUUUUUUUAAUCCUAUCUAUGUUGUUGAUAUUAAUUCAUUGAAUUUAAUGUUACCUAAAACAAAAUUAUAUUUCAUGUCCUCUAUUAUAAGUGGAUAACCAUUCCUUAUGUUAUAUUUUAGAUAAAGAACGAAUAUUGAGGAUUGGAGUUGUAAGAAAUUAGGAGAGAAAUUAGGAGGUCCUAAUUUUAAAUAUGUAACAAAGUUCUAUAAUCACUCCAAUCCACGUUUAAAAAUUGUAUUUCUUUCUAAUAUGGGAUCAAACUUUUUCCUUCUUUCUUAUAAAUUUCAUUUGGGAAUGAUUUAAAAAUAAAUAAAUAAAAGCCCUUCUAAAUAUUAAAAAAACACUCUCUUAUAAAAUUUAAUUAGGUGGAUGGUAAGGUCAAAUUCGAGAUAGCUUCAUAUUUUUUGCUUUAACUGAAAAUUAAAAUUGAAAUUAAAGUAAAAAGUUUUAAGAUGUUGUAAAAGUUUUAUUAAACAUGAAAUAACUUAUUCUGUAAACAAAAAUAGAAUUAUAGAAUUCUUAUAAGAAAUAACAUUUUUAUGACUUCUAUAUGAAACUUUUUUUUUUUAAAAAAAUUAAAUAGGUAAAAAACUUUUAUUCAACUUAUUUUUUUUUAACUCUUAAAAGUCAAUCCAAAUAAAAUUUAAAUAUAUUUGAAAAUUAUUUUUAAAAAUCCAAAAAAUCACUUAAAAAUAAUUUCUGAACUUUUUUUAAUUUACAUUUAAAUACUAAGUGAUUCUUUUAAAAAUCAUUUAUAAUGUCAAAAUAUUUUUUUAUGGAUAAAAAUAUUACAAAUAAAAAACAUUUCAAUCACAAUUAAUUUAUUUUUAAUUCAUGAAAUUUCAUUUAUUGUUACUUAUUUUUUGGGAUUUAAUUCUUUACAAUUAUUUUUGAGUGUUUAUAUAGAAUAAUUAGGUUAUGCCCAAAUUUAUUCCUUUAACUCUAUCCAUCAGAUAUAAGUAGCGUGAAAUUUUGGCCUGUCUCCACCUUUCUUCGCUUCUGACAAUGGUCAAUGAAUAAUUUAUUAUAUUUUUUUCUUAAUUUAAUAGCAUUGGAAUGUCAGCUGGAACAAACCAUUUGAUGAUCUUUUUCAUAAGUAUCCAUUUAGAUCAUAGUCUAAUUUUAAAAUAUUAGAAUAAAUCAAUUAGUCUAAACUAUAUCAUUUAUAAUUUUUUAUUUAUUAAUAUGAUACCUAUCCUUCCACGGAAUUCAAAUAAAAUAUGGAUAAUUAAAAAAUGUCAACUAUCCAUGAUAUUUGAUACCAAACUUUUCUAAUACAACAUGAUAUCAUGUUGAAUGAAAUGGGAAUGACCAAAUAUUCUCAAAUCAAAGAUAUAUCUAUUGUGGACACGUCAAAUUCUCUUUUUAUAAUCAAAGACGUCCAUGGAAAAUUCCACCAUAGUAUAUCUCAAAGAUUAGUCAAAUUCCAUUAUCUUUAUAGACUUUUAACAAUCUAAGAAAUUGACAUUAAUAAUCCCAAACACAAUAUUCUGCAACUUUACAUUAUUCUUUUUAUCGUAAUUGAAGAGGAAUACCAACUUAGUCAAAUAGAAAAUAAAUCACGAAAGUUGAAUAAUACAAAUAUUCAGUGAAAUCUUUGGCAUGUUAUUUCUUUGCAGCUUCAACAUGGUGGCAUGUCGGAUGGAGGAGGCAGCAUUUGAGCUUUUGGGUGUUUUCCAUUUUUCACUAUGAACGCAGUUUCCAUGCCCCAAGUCACAUGGCGUUCUACAUGGUAGUGCAGGAACCACACUCCUACAACAGAGAAAAUAUAGUGACAUUACACCUAACUUAAUUGUAAUAUUAAAAAAAAAAAUUUAUUUCAUUGGUAUGCAGGUUGGCAGUUUCAAGGCAGAUGUAUAAACUUAUUUUGCUUCCGGAUCAUAGGAGGAUGUAAAACUAAUCAUGAGUUUCCUAAUCAAACUUUCAUGUGCCUUUUGGAUACUGAAUUUAACAUCUUCCAUGAUGGUAAGACUUGACAAAUUGUCGAUUGUUUGUGAUGUUUUUCAUUUGAUAGUUUACAUAUGUCAUGGCAUGACUUGGUGCAUAUUUAGACUUAGAGCUUUAGUUAGCUUUGUUUUUGUCCAUUAUUCGGUUUUCUUUUGAUAACAUGGUCCCAGGAUUUGUAGUCCUAUUUAGCUUUUAUAAUUGAAGAUAAGACAUUUUCAUCUUAUUGUUGAUGAGUGUAUCCUAAUGUAUGUCUUUGUUAGUACCACACCCUAAUUAUCCGACUUUUUUAUGUUUUAUGUUUUAUAUUAAUUUCAUGCCUCGACUAUCCGAACUCUUUUAUGUUUUCUUAAUGUCACGCCCUGACUAUUCGACCUCUUUUUGUCUCUAUUAGUGUCAUGCUCUGAUUGUCCAAAUUUUUCAUGUUUUUCUAGAGCUAUCUUGAUUGUCCAACUUUUCCAUGUUUUCCUAAAGUCGAGCUCUGACUGUCCAACUUCUUUUAUGUUUUCCUAGAUUAGCACUCUAAUUGUUGGGUUUUCUUUGUGUUUCCUCUAAUGUCCAUGCUCUGACUACCCGACCUCUUUUAAUUUUUAUUUUAUUAGCCUUAAGUUUUUUCUCUAAUCAUUAGUUUCUCUCUCUUUUCUUCUUCAUUCUCUUGUUCACCCAUUCAUUCCCCCCUUUGGAUAACAAGGUCCUUAGUGUUUCACAUAGAUAUUGUCACUACCCUAUUUAAAAGAGUCUCCCUUAAGAUCCACAUAGAUAUUGCAUGUUUCUCUACUAGUAGAUCAAUGAGCACAUUUCAUAACCUUAGAGAGCUUGUGUCUUAUUGGGACAAUUUUGGUGAUCUUUCUUGUACUUUAGUAGAGCUCACUUCGUUUAGUUGAUUUAUACACUUACUUCACUUGUGAACUCUUCUAAAAAUGGGCAUAUUUGUAGAUCCCAAAAUUUGCCCUAAGUCCAUUCUCACUUUUUAUUUUAUUUUAUUAUUUAUUUGAUUUAAUUUGAUUUUUACUUUAUUUUUUUUCUUUUUUUGUUCCUUUCUUGUUUUUCACCUUUUUUUUCCCCACACGUGCAACUGCAGAACCCUUCCUCUUCUUAUUUUUCCCUCUUCAAUUUCUUUUCUUUGCUUCUUUCUUUUUCCUUCCUUUUUGUUUUUCUUUCUUUUCUUUCCUUUUCUCUAUUCUCUCUACCUACUCUCUCUCCCAAACCCAUCUCUGGCUGUCAUCUACCUUCCUUCUCUUUCCCUUUUCUUAUUUAUUAUCCUUUCAUUUUUCUUCCUAUUACCCAUUUCUCUCUCUCACCUUAAAGAUCCAUAACCAUGGCUGCCCCAUACUCAACACUCUCACCACUAGAUAGUCACCAUCGGCGAGCCAUUAUUUGUUCAUGAUCCCUUUUCUCCCUUUGUUUCUCUCUUUUCUUCCUUUUCUCUCUUAUCUCACCCUUUUUCUUUAUUUAUUUAUUUAUUAUUAUUAUCUCAUUCUUUCCCCUUAUCCCUUAUUCCACAUUGCAUUCACGAAAUGGGUAAGAUGCCCUUUUUCAUUUUCUUAUUUCUUUAGUCAUUUUAUUUUUUAUUCCUAAAGUAAUUGUUCUUGAUUGUUGAGUUUGCUUGUUUGGACUUUAGAUAAUUUUGCUCGGAAUUUGCAUAUUAGAUGUUGAUCUUCUUUUAGACUUUAAUAAAUUAAGUUAUCCAAAAAUCUUCUUUUAAAAAAAUAAAAUAGGUGGAAUAAGACAUUUUCAUUAAAUAAGAAAAAUGGACCCAAAAAUAAGUUUUUAGACAUCUUUUUAGAUAAAAUAGUCCAAAAAUUUUAUUUUAAUAAAAGAAACAAUUCAUAAUUUUAAAAUAAUAUAAAUAAAUAAAAGGUUCACAAAUAUUUUUUUCAAAUAAAAUAAAAUAAAAAUAAAACAAUUCAAUAAUCUUGUUUUAAUGCAAUAACAAUUCAAAAAAUAUUCUUUUUAAUAAAAUAAAGCUUUUUUUAAUAGAAAGUUUAGAAUUUCUUUUUUAGGAAUCGAAUUUUUUUUAAUAAAAAUUCAAAAAAUUAAAUGGUCUAGAAAUUUAUUCAUUUAAAAAAUUUUCUAAAAAAAUUGAUUUUUAAAUAAAAUUGUCCAAAAAGUUAAUUUUAAUAAAAUCGUCCAAAAAUUUAUUUUUGAAUAAAAUUCUCUUUCCUUGAUAAGAAUGGGAUUAAAAAUAAUUUUUAUAAAUAAAGGUCUUAAAGAAUUUUUUUUAAUAAGAAUAGGAUAAGUAAACCUUUAAAUCAAACUGAAAGACCUUUUUUUUUUUUUUUUUAAUAAAUUAGUAAACUAAUCUCUUUCUAGAUGAAAUCCAAAAAUUAUUUCUUAAUAAUGGAAUCCUUGGGAAUAAAUUUGUGAAUUUUUUUUCUAACUAAAUUAGUAAUAAAGAAUCUUUUUCUAGGUAAAAUAAAAACAUAUAUAUUUUUAAUAAAAUUGGGUUGAACCUUAUAAACUUGUAAAUAUCUUUCUUUAAGUUUGUAAAUUUAAAAAAAAUAAAUAAAGAUUGAAUCAAAACACUUUUUAAAAUAAAUUAGUAAAAUUCACCCCUUCUUAAUAAGGUAAACAAAAAUCAUUUCUUGUAAGUCAAAUAAAAUCUUUUGUAAUAAAUUGAAGCAUUGUGAAUAAAUAAAUUCAAAUCACUAAUUUGAAAUUGUUGUUAAUAUAAAUGAAUUCUUUGAAAAUUUUUGGAAAUUGUAUUAUGAUAUUUGAAAUAAUAAAAUCUUUCUAAUAAAUUAUUUUGUGCAUUUCUUAUAUAUCAUUUUUGCAUAUCCUUAUAAUUUGCUUUUGCAUUAUUCCAUGUGCUUGUAUUAUUCUUUUUUUUUAGUAUCCAUGAUUGAUUAAUUAAUUGUUAUAAUUUCAUUUUUAUGUGCUUAGUAAAAACCUUUUUAAGGCUUAAAAGGGUGCUACUAUGGUACCUUCCAAAUAGGUAAUCUGACCUCUGAAUUCAAACUCAGUUUUUGUCAACACGUCUUUUCUUUAAAAAUGGAGUUACACUAAGGCUUUAUUUCUUAUUUUAUUUUCUUUUAAAAAUAAAUAAAAAUAAGUGGCAACUCUACCUUUUUAAAAAAAUCAAUUUUUUUACAAUCAAAAUAAGUCUCGCCAUCAAGUAGGCAUACACAUAAAAAAUGUGGGUUCACAAUUGUAUUUCUUAGAAUUAAAAUAUAAUACAAUUACUAAAUCAACGAUGUUGUAAGUUUUUAAAUCUUUUAUCAUAAAAAAUUCAAAUCACAAUGGAUCAAAUAGUUUUCAAAAGAAAAAAAAUAUAUUUAAAAUGAAAAAUGUAACAAUAAAGACAAUGAAACAAGGUGAUAUGGUUGGAGUUAAAUAGAAAAAUCUUUUAUCCAUGAAUUUAUAGUUUAUUUAGUAGAAAAAAGUUUGAAAGAAAUAUUGCAUACAUUAAUGGAUUAAGUAGAUAUGGAGUUGUAAGCAAAUAGGAGAUCCUAAUUUUAAAUAUGUAACAAAGUUCUAUAAUCACUUCAAUCCACGUUUAAAAAUUGUAUUUCUUUCUACUAUGGGAUCAAACUUUUUCCUUCUUCUUAUAAAUUUCAUUUGGAAAUGAUUUAAAAAUAAAUAAAUAAAAGCCCUUCUAAAUAUUAAAAAAACACUCUCUUAUAAAAUUUAAUUAGGUGAAUGGUAAGGUCAAAUUGGGGAUAGCUUCAUAUUUUUUGCUUUAACUGAAAAUUAAAAUCGAAAUGAAAGUAAUAAUUUUUAAGAUGUUGUAAAAGUUUUAUUAAACAUGAAAGAACUUAUUGUGUAAACAAAAAUAGAAUUAUAGAAUUCUUAUAAGAAAUAACAUUUUUAUGACUUCUAUAUGAAACCUUUUUUAAAAGUUAUAAGUUUUUUUAAAAAAUAAUAAUUAAAUAGGUAUAAAAACUUUUAUUCAACUUAAUUUUUUUUAACUCUUAAAAGUCAAUCCAAAUAAAAUUUAAAUAUAUUUGAAAAUCAUUUUUAAAAACCCAAAAAAUCACUUAAAAAUAAUUUCUGAACUUUUUUUAAUUUACAUUUAAAUACUAAGUGAUUCUUUUAAAAAUCAUUUAUAAUGUCAAAAUAUUUUUUUAUGGAUAAAAAUAUUACAAAUAAAAAACAUUUCAAUCACAAUUAAUUUAUUUUUAAUUCAUGAAAUUUUAUUUAUUGUUACUUAUUUUUUGGGAUUUAAUUCUUUACAAUUAUUUUUGAGUGUUUAUAUAGAAUAAUUAGGUUAUGCCCAAAUUUAUUCCUUUAACUCUAUCCAUCAGAUAUAAGUAGCGUGAAAUUUUGGCCUGUCUCCACCUUUCUUCGCUUCUGACAUUGUCAUGCACUGCUUCGUCAACUCCAAACACAACCGCUGAGGAUAGAAGAAAAUGAGACAAUGGUCAAUGAAUAAUUUAUUAAUUUAUUUCUUAAUUUAAUAGCCUUGGAAUGUCAGCUGGAAUAAAAUGAAAGUUUUAUCAUUUAAUCUUUUUUAGCACACCACUCAUGAUCUUGGAGAGUACGGUCAAUUGCAAAAGCUUAGUUAAUUGUAAGUGUCUUUUCUCUAAACCAUAAAUUCAAAUGAUCAACUCCUACGUUUUAAUUUACAAAAGCCAGUGAUUAGUUUUUACUGGUUAUUUGAAUUUAAGGAAGCAGAAAAGGGUUUACUUUAAUAAAAAAAUAAAAAAAUAAAAAAUAAAAAGUAAGAGUUGAAAAGUAAUCAAAUCACUAAAAAAAAACAGAUUUACAGUUCUUUUGGUAUGGGGUUAGACUCAAUUUGUUCCCCUGCAAUGGAAAUGGACAACAUUUUUUUUCUUUUGUCCUUUUCCUUUAUCUUGGUGUAGAUAUUCUAAUAUUUUAUAAAAGUAUAAAUUAUAUGCCAAUUAUUUUAACUUUAGGAAAAAACGUUUAUUUUAAUUUAAAAUAAGUAAAUAAAAAAGAACUGAUUUUAUCUCAACAAUAUAAGACUUCAUAAAAAUUAUCUUAUUUGCAAAAUAUUUUCAGAUGUAAAAGUAAAAAUUAAACAAAUCAUUUGAUGAUCUUUUUCAUAAGUAUCCCUUUAGAUCAUAGUCUAAUUUUAAAAUAUUAUAAUAAAUCAAUUAGUCUAAACUACAUCAUUUAUAAUUUUUUUUACUAUUAAUAUGAUACCUAUCCUUCCACGGAAUUGAAAUAAAAUAUGGAUAAUUAAAAAAUGUCAACUAUCCAUGAUAUUUGAUACCAAACUUUUCUAAUACAACAUGAUAUCAUGUUGAAUGAAAUGGGAAUGACCAAAUAUUCUCAAAUCAAAUAUAUAUCUAUUGUGGACACGUCAAAUUCUCUUUUUAUAAUCAAAGACUUCCAUGGAAAAUUCCACCAUAGCAUAUCUCAAACAUUAGUCAAAUUCCAUUAUCUUCAUAGACUUUUAACAAUCCAAGAAAUUGACAUUAAUAAUCCCAAACACAAUAUUCUACAACUUUACAUUAUUCUUUUUAUCGUAAUUGAAGAGGAAUACCAACUUAGUCAAAUAGAAAAUAAAUCACGAAAGCUAAAUAAUACAAAUAUUCAGUGAAAUCUUUGACAUGUUAUUUCUUUGCAGCUUCAACAUGGUGGCAUGUCGGAUGGAGGAGGCAGCAUUUGAGCUUCUGGGUGUUUACCAUUUUUCACUAUGAACGCAGUUUCCAUGCCCCAAGUCACAUGGCGUUCUACAUGGCAGUGGAAGAACCACACUCCUGCAACAACGAAAAUAUACCGACAUUACACCUAACUUAAUUGUAAUAUUAAGAAAAAUUAUUUCAUUGGUAUGCAGGUUGGCAGUUUCAAGGGUUUUUUUUCUUUAUUAGAGGACAUGAGUGCUUGCAACAUACCAGGGUUGGAUGCCUUGAAUCUGAUUGCAACCCAACCUUUCGAAGGAACAGAGAUGGUAUUCUGAAGAGGAGGAUCCACCAGAUUAUAGUGCAAAGGGUCCCUAUUUUCAUCGAAAUUCCUAAAUCCCCAUCCAACAACAUAGAAACUGUAUCCAUGGAGAUGCAUAGGGUGGUGUGUCUCUGCAAGCACGGCUGUCCCUUGAAGAACAAUCUCCACUGUGGAGUUAUACUCGAGCACCCUUACUUCUGUUCCGCUGCUCGGCAACUGAUAGAUUAAUGGAAGAUAAUCAUAUGUAAAAUCGAACACUAGUGGUGGAAAGCUAGGAAAGUUAUUUCCAUAUACACCACUGAUGUUAUAAUAGUAAGCUUCUAGUAUGUCAACUGUAGGGGUAUGGAAGCUUAUGUUGUUUAUACUUGAGGAGAACCGCGUCCCAUUUGGUCCUGCACAUGAAUCAUUGACGCAUGGGUACGAGUUCAUAGAAAGAGUGUAAAACAGCUUAGUGCUCGUGCUCAAUGGGACAUUGCAAGGAUGUUCCUCAUUUGCUAAGCUUCGGAGGCCGGCCAUGACUUGAACCGAUGCAUCUGUGUCAUUGUAUGCAGGAAGAUGAGGCAAGGAGGGAGGUGAAGAUGGAGUGUAGUAACCCCUAUACUGUACUAUAGCUGUGGUGGUUGUGUUAUCAUAGAAGUCUUGAUAUUUCGGGGCAACAGAAUAAGUUAUAGCCGCCAUGUAAUAGUGAUCCGGGCGUUGGUUAGCUUCUAGUAAGACAUCAUAGGUUUGGCCAGGAAAUAUUGUGAUAUAAUCUCGUGUCAAUGGUUUUGUGUAGCUACCAUCUGUUCCA